Molecule: long non-coding RNA, 62626 nt
Filed under: Setaria italica (foxtail millet)
Lineage: Eukaryota; Viridiplantae; Streptophyta; Magnoliopsida; Poales; Poaceae
Description: long non-coding RNA (SITA_LNC006658)
Source: RNAcentral
CUAUUUUUUCACAACGGACUAGAUUAAUAUGUUCUAGUUCCAAACCACCAUUACAUGUCAUUAGACAAGACACUAAAUCUGGACCAACAAGUGCUACUGAUGAACAACCAUUCUAAGAGUAGGCUAUUUCACUUAUACAAAUAGCCCACAAAAUGCUAUUGUUAGCCUGUCCAAAAUGCUAUAAUUAGGCUACAAAAUACUAUGUCAACCAUCUAUCCAGCUUGCAAGUACUAGAAGAACAGAUCCUGGUCAAGAAGAUUAUCAACUUCACAAAUUGGAGCUGUCAAGAUUUGGGUAAAAUUGACAAUGAUAUUGUACUCUUGAAGGUCCAGAUUUGCUCCUUUAUUGCUGUCACCAUUCUCCACUUGCGCUAGGGGUUGCACAUCAUCACUUUUUUUUUGUUGCUGCAACAAAUUCAACUAAUUACUUUACAAAAUAAUAUACAAAUGUUCAGAUUGCAUUGGACAUACCUUUGCUUGUCGUCUUGAAUUCUUUGAUUGAACCUCCUUUUUCUUGAAUUUGUAGCAGUUAGCAAGCUUCUUUGCUGUACAUUAGUGUCAGCAUUUUCUUGGCCCUUGCAUGGUUCAUUCACAGCACUAGUAGAUAUAUUAAGUUUUCCCUCUAGCUGUAUAGUAAGGCAAUCAAGUGCAUUUUCUAAUAGCACACAACAUUCUUGAGAGGCGGAGGCGGCGACGACAACCUUCAGCUUCUCUUCCGCCGGCCCGGCUGGCUCGCGCCCCCGCUACGCCCGGCGGCAGCCCUCCCUCACCUAACGUGCCCCUCCAGCUUCUCCUCCGCGGCGUCGCCCCUCCUCUUCUCCGGACUCCGCGCGGGGAGGAGCUCCGCGGCCGCGCGGGAGCGAGUCGGCGGUAGCGCGCGGGAGGUGAGUCGGCCGCCCGCGCUUUUCCUUUUCCUUCCCGCGAGCAGGACUUCCUGGGGGCCUGUGGAAAGGAUAAGAUUAUCACAGCUGGCCGUUGGAUUUCGUUUGAACGGUGGAUGUAGGCAGCUAAGGCUCACGGUGACUUGCCGAAGGCAAGUUACUGAAUCCGCGUCCCCUCAGUACCUCACGCACAGACGCACACUGACAAACACCACUACAUGGAGACCUGCUGCACUCCCUUGCCGGCUUUAGUUCGUUAUAGAUGCAUUUGGUUCUGCGUGUAACCCGCCGUUACAAUUUUAUUGCAGUCUUGCAGAUGAAAAUUUUCUGCUCAGUUCAGAUGGCAAUGAGCGAUGCCGGUCGUAACAUUUAAGUAGCAUAAGAAAUGACGAAAUCGGGAUGGCACUUCCAAAUUCAACUAAAUGGAACCAUGAUGGCGAGGUCAGAAGUUUGAAUAUUUCUGCCUCUCUGAAAUUCACAUAGCCAUAGAGAUAGUUGUGGGCAAGCCAAUUUAUUAUUGCUGCAACUUCCGUUACAAGCAUUUAGUAAUGCGCUGACAUUUGACAACGCCUUAAAUACACUUAGAGAUUAUAUCUUAUAUCUGCAUAUUACUCUUGUCUUGUAUAACCAAAUGGGAUCUCAUUUCCUUCUCUACGGAUCCUUCCAUGCAUACCCUUUUCCUGAAUCCUGAUUGAAUGGCUGCAUCCCACACUACGGACUAGCUCUUGUAUAAGUUACUUUGGUGUCAGAACAUACAUCUUGCAGUCAUGAGGUGCCACUGAAGCUGAUAAUUGGCCCUGAGCCGAGAAGGACGAGUGCUGCACAAGAAAAUGGAAUUUGAAAUAUGAUGUCUGGACCAUCAACCUUCUUCACUUGAUUAUGAUAUGCAGUAUGGAUCUGAAGAAAGCAAGCUUACCGCCCAUAGAUCACGAGCAGUGACAGCAGUGGAUGAAGCAAGCCCGAUGCUUGACCAUUGCGCGGUGAUGGUUGCCUGGUAGCCCUGCCGGUUCCAGAGAACCACAGCCUUCCUGUUGUUGCUGAGUGGCCCGGCCCAAACCUAUAAAAGAACACAGCGCUGUUAACUUCAGAAUCUUGCUAAAGCUCUUUGUGGUUUUGCUGUGGAACAAAGAGCUUCAUGGAAGGCACUAAUGCAGAGGUUGUGGAAUACUACCUCCAAGCCAUUGUUGGAUUGCACUUUCUUUCCUUGGACGCCUAGACUAUCUGUUUGGAAAAUUGUUGCAUCAAUACAAUGAAAACCCAUACAAUGUGUAGGUAAAAAUGCAAGAGAAGUUCUACCUUGGUUGACAGCAAUGACUUCCCAGUUGCUGAGUAUGUCCUUUGUCUGCUGGCUCAUCGAGCGUACAUCGCACCCGAUCAGAAGAGGAGCCUGCAAAAGGCAAGACAGGUUUGCAGUGAUGAAAAUGCAGAACAUUUAACAUUGAAAGAGCACUUUUAACUUGCAGAAAAUUUAGUACCUUGGCAAGUGCCCAGAUGCUGAAGUGAGAGCGGUACUCCGCCUCAGACAUACCACCAUUGCCCACUUCAAGCAUGUCAGGAUCUGAUGUUGGAAUGCAAGAGAAUCCAUUCAUCAGUUGGUAGUUCACAAAUGGUUAAGCGUGAACAGAAUCAUCUCAUGUCUAAACUCUUACUUACCAUUCCAUCCACCAGGUCCGGCAUAGGAAGCCCAUCUGUCAUUCUGGUCUGCACGAGAUGUCAUGCUGAAAUAUCAUGGUAAAUAUGGUCAGUCCGGACAAUUUCAGUAGUUAAUUAGUCAUCCAAGUAGAUCACAACGAAAUGAGCAGCACCUGCCCCAGUUGUCAACGAUAUCAUCAGUUGUUCUCCAGCUGUUGCCCAUGCUUCCUGCCCAGGUAGCAGGAUUUUCUCUUCCCCUAUAUAGAGGAGACACAGUUGAAGAAAUCAGCACCAGUAACACAUCUUCCCUCUGGACAGAGGUGUUGCUAGGAGGAAACUCACCAUUCACACAAUGAGAAGAAGAUGUUCUUUCCAUAGGUCUUCAUGGCAUUGCUCAUUUUAGUAUAUCUGCAACAGCCAUGAGAAGUUAAUGAGCAACCUGGCGUACAAUUCCCAAUCCGUCAAUCACAACACAGUUUAAGGUGCCGUUCUCGUUUACCUCUCCAUUACACUCCUGCCAGCAUCAUUGCAGUUGUCGUACUUCAGAUAAUCAAUACCCUGGAGUUAGAGAAGAGAGUUAGAAGAACAUCAGGAAGUCAGAAUCAUCAAAUGAUCAGCCACUUUGUCACUGUUGAUUCAACAUCAGGUAAGAAAGAGAAAGAGAUUUACCCAAGACGAAAAUGUUUUCACAUCCUGCUCUUCAUGAUCAAGUGAUCCUGGCAUUUUUUGACUGCAUGUCCGUGUUCUGCAAUAAACAGUGGCAAUUCAGUAUAAGGUUCACAACCAGUUUGAUACUGCAAAUUAUUGGUUCGCUUGGGUAUUAACGACUACAGUUACUCCAAGACGAUAAUAAAUGAGCUAUUUUGUUAUCAUAAAACUGUUUUUUUAUAGCUAGCAGCCUAGCAUACCCUGCGUCACUGUAGAUGCCAAGCUUCAGCCCUUUUGCGUGCACAUAAUCUGCAAGUGCCUUGAUGCCAGAGGGGAAGGUUUGUCUAUUUGCAACAAAGUUACCCUGAGAAAUAGUAAUGCAACUUUGUCAAUAACAAUGGUAUUAAAGGUCAUUAUGUAAGAAGGAAAAAAAGUAGAGUCUGAUCUAGCCACUGGGUCACAAAAGUUUGCAAAAACAAUCACUUCAAAUUUACUCAUUAUAUCUGCAACAGUCCACUCUACAAACAUUUUUUAAGCUCUCCAUAAUCUAAUGGUUAUUAUGAAUUCCUCUCUAUGUAUUUUUGUGCUUUCUAGAAGUUCUUCUCCACUUUUUUUUUGCUUGCACUGAUAUUAAUGCUGAAAAUGAUGGGGGUGGUUAGUGGUUAGCGUGUUGCAUCUGUAGGAAAAUUUGAUCUUCUUACCUGGUAGUCCCUGUCAGAUUCCGCCCAGCAAUCAUCUGAAAGAAGAUAUGGAAAGGCUUUCAGCAAAGAGCUACUUUGUGCAGGAUGCAUGAUAUGAGAUGGGGUUUACAUCGCAAUCCAUACCUAUAUUAACAUAUUCGUAGCCCAACUUCGCCAGACCAGUGUUGACCAAUGCAUCAGCUGAAUAAAAGUGAAGCAGUUUGAGCAGUAUUAGGGGUGCCACAUACUUUCUCUGAGACAAAUAUGUACGGAACAGUGGCAAGUUUAUAAAUAGUGUUGAAAGUAGAGUUUACAGUGUAACUACUCCUUUGCAUUAUCCUAAUACGACAGUGUGAUCACGGGCCAUUUGUCCUGCAUCGACUACCCAUAAUAAGUGGUUCAAGCACUACUCACAGUUAUAGGUCAAUAGAUAUAGUCCAAGAGGAACAGGUUGCAGGCACAUGAUCUGUAUCUGCUCUCCUCCUGCUUGAACUGGUCAGUUAGGCUGCACCUAUCGUUGCCUGACCCAACUUGUUGGCCCAAGCGUCCCUUUUCCAAUGCUUUCAUCCAUCAACAACCAUGUACUCCCUCCGUCCUAAAUUACUAUUCGUUUUGACUUCUCUAGAUACUCAUACAAGUAUAUAUCUAAGUGCAUAUCAAAAUAUGUGUACGUAGAAAAGAUAAAACGAAUAGUAAUUUGGGACGGGGAGUAGAUUCUUUCGACCAUAGUGACACUAGUCAAUUGAUUGGUGCUGUCCAUUGGACCACAAAGACUGCGAAAACUGAUGAGGCGAUUAAUGUAUUCGAUCGCAAAGACCUUAUCUAGAUUUGUUCAGAGAUCUGCGCAGCACAUGUCGUAGAUAUCCAUGAUUAAUUCAGUUUUUUAAUUCUUUUGCCAAGGGACAAGCGAAAGAAUCAGUGGAGCCCUUUUGUCAACGUAUCAGCCUUAUGGGUAUGGGUUCUCCUCACUAAAAAGUAGCAUAUAAAAUUUUGGUGCGCAAUUUAUUCUGGCAAUGGAACCUCUCCCUUUGUAGUCCCUUCAUAUUUCUUCUGCAACUUACUUUUCUGUUUUUAAAACUGAAUUCCUUUCAUUUUUCAGAGGAUGCUAUUGCAAUAGCUAUGGACUCACAUUGUUCAUGCUUGUGCUGGAUAAACCACCUUCCUUACAUACUAACCCUGAACAUGUUUUAACAGGUCGUCCGAACUCUGAACUUCUGAAGUAAGCAUGUAGCUGAACAACAGUUGAGCUACCGCACUGAGUCAUUACUCAUUGGCGCAGACAAUUUGAGCAGUUAAAGGCAAAAGCAUCCCAGAUCUGAUCGGGCCGGUGCUGAAAGAAUAAAGAUUGGCUAUGAAUUUGAAGGGCAUGGACAUGGAGGAACGAGAGGGGGGUAGGGAGAAUCUGGCAAUGUGCGGUGCAGCGAAUCUGGUUGUCGUCUUCCUUCCCCGUCCAUGACCCGCCACUUCGAUUUGCUGCCCGCGAGCUGUGAUAUCCAACAACUCUGCAGGAACUGGAACUUUUCCCGGCCGACAUCAAUCGGGCCCGGUGGAUGAGAAGUGAGAACUCGCGGCAUCCGAUGGCCGGUCAGCCUCGGUAAGCCUUGCGCCCCGUGUUCUGAUUGGCUGGCUUGCUGAUCCGCGUCUUGUCGCUGACGGUGACGGCAGGACGGUUUGCAGGGUGGUUUUACCAGUACCACGGGGCCAAAAUACCCUGCUUAUAGUGGUGGGUGGCUCCCUCGUUCCUCCUACGUGAAUCCAAUUGGUCCUUGUGAAGCUCAUGUGCUCCAGAGAUUUUACUACCAUUUUUGUUUAGGUUCAAGCUAAAAGUUAGCGUCUUGUGCUUUCAUGGAUCAUUUGCAGCUUCUUCCUUUUUUCAGUAAUCAGUAAUGCCGUGUAAAACGGGAAGGACAUGCAAGAUUCUCCCAUCACACGUAUCACCGACACCUCUUGCACUCUUCUCCUUGGAGCGUUGUGAGCUUCUGGCCACAGGCCACCCCACUAUCGGUGACGUUGAUACAAACGCUUGGACACAAUGACACAGGCUCCAUCAUGCCUCUAAAUCAGACAAACUAAAAAAAGGCCGGUCGUCCUUUUUAAGAAAAGGGGGGUUUAAAGGCGAUCGCGACCGAACAAAAUUCUCUCGUGCACAAGCGCGCAUCGCCGGAUUUUCCGAUGCUAACAUGACAACAGGGUGCUAACCGAUCGGAUCUGCUAAACAAACAGGCACCAAAAAGCUGAAAGGGAUAGACCGCACAGACUCGACCUCGCGGAUAAGACCAUUUUUUCUAUGCCAACAUGCAAAAGUUUUUUCGUCUCUUUUUUUUUCUUUCUGAGAACACGCAAAAUAAUUUUUUUAUGUGAUCUUUUUUUAGGGCAAUUUUUACGUGAUGUUCAUUUCGUUGGGGAGGAGAGCAAUCAGCCGAGAGUGAAAAGGGGGUGGAUUGUGGAGUGGGCAGGAGGAGCAGGCGUACCUGUCUGCUUGAUGAGGUUCUCGUUGAUCCCGCAGCCGAAGUGGUUCCAGCUAUUCCACCUAACCCCACGCAUUUCGUCACCAGAGAGACCAGAGUUAGUAGCUGAUUAUUUACUGCAGAAAUCAGUGUUAGCACACGUGAUGCGAGCAUGAUUUGCAGACAUGCUUGACCCCUGCUGCUGCUGUCUGACUCUGACGGUCAUGGUUAACAGCAGCAGUGGCUCAAAAAAAAACUCGCCAUGCGAAAUACUAGCCGCGCAUCCACAGAAAUUACCGAACCCGAAGUAAUUAAUACUGCACUUAAACAACAGGGAAACCUGUAGGUUAUCGUUUGGUACGUCAUGCACGGUGAGAUGGAUAUGAAGUUUAUGAAAUGUCACUUUUGCCCUUUUAUCUCCUCACUUUUCCUUUCUCCCUUCCCUUUUAUCUUUUCACAAGUCAUUAACCAUACCGUUUGGAUGGACUAGUGUAUAAAAGUGCUAAACUUUAUCACUAGUUACUUGGACAAGUUGGCUUGCGCACUUGAGACCGAGCAGUUGAAUCAUGCCGGCACGGUGGCAGAGGCUCCAAAGACGGGCAGGAAAGGCGACAGGGGGAAAAACAAAGGGAAAGCAAAGGGAGGCCUCUGCCGCCAAAAGCACCAAAAAAGGGUGCAUCUUUUCGCCAUUUCCGUGGACGUGCUCCCUAGUCCCGACCUCUGCUAUCUACCACCGGUUUCCCCAUCAGAGUUUCCCUUCCACGGCGUCACACGCUACGGCCCAAUGGAAAUUUUUAACCGCGACAUGAUCAGUCGAUGUUCGACGUGGUAGCCUGCGAAUUUUCUGCGCGCAUUGAGGCAGUACGUGGUGAAAAGGACGGAGGGCAGACGGGGGAAAAAAGGGUCACCCACGUGCGCCGCGCCCGCGCUCACCCAAUCCUCCCUCCUCCUCGGCCGCGUCCUAAACAGCAAGUAAUCCUGCCGUCCGGCGUCCACAAGCAAGAAUCUAUCGGCGGAGACGGACAGGGAAAGGCAAGGAACAAAAGGGGCUUUAACAAUGGGCCGGCGUCGAAAGCAGAGCUCUCCGGAACGGGAUUGACACCGUCUCUCGUUUCGCUUCCGACGCAAGCCAAGGACAUGUCCGUUCCCUCCCUCGCUCCCCCCAAAAGUUUCGGCUCCGCCAGCAGCGGCUCGCCUCACUUUCCCCUCGCUAUCUCCGCCCCAGCCACCGUCCUCCGCCCAUCUCAGGAGUUUGGCUGGUCGUGCCACUCCCGAGCGACGGACGACAAGCACGGCGAACAAGAUCAACCAAAAAAAAAAAAACUCGAUGUAACAAAGCAGCAACCAGUGAUGCAGAGCGGGCAUCGGGGAGGCCGCAAUGCCGGCGGCGAGGCGUGCGUGCGUACGUACCCCAUCUGCGGCGUCCGGCCGAGGCCGUUCUCGAAGGCGCGCCGCCGGUGGCGCCACACGUACCCGUGCCCGUGCCGGGCACGCCUCGCGGCCCCGCGCAGCUCCUCCGUCCAGUUGCCGGGGAGCCUAGCCGCCUCGGUCGCGGUGGCGGCCGCGGCCGCCGCCACGAGGAGCGCCAGCAGUAUCGACGACGAAGAGCUCGGGCCGCGCGCCAUGGCCGGCACGGCAGGCAAGCUCUGCUGCUAAUGCAGAGCAGCGAGCGUCAGUUAAUACGGGAAGGGGACUGUGGAGGAGGGGUUGGGGCGUCGUCGGAUUGGGGACGCGGUUACUGGGCGGGGACUUUAUAUAGCCCCGGGUACGGCCGUGGUGGGUCCCACGGUGUCAGUGCCUAAUUCCUUUUUUUCCCCUCUUUAUUUCGUUUAUUAUUAUUAUUUGUUCUGCGUUGCUUGACUUGUGUCGUGGGCCAGCUCGUCUCUUGCGUCCACCAAUCGGUCUAGCACUAGCUGGCGCGCGUCGGCGUGAACGAUCGAUCGUUUGAUCAGUAUGGGGCCCAGCCGUCAGUAGCAGCGUACCGUACAGUUUCAGGGACGGCCGGCCGGACGGGACGAGUGAUGCCAUGGGCCACGGCACACGCAAAAUCUUCUGAUCUCGUAUUCCUACACUGUCCUGGCAUGUUUCAGGGUUCAUAUACUUGGAGUCUGUGGCACGCAUACAGUUCACGGGAUCAUGGGCAGUCGUGUCGUUGAGGGAUACCCUGCUAAUCAAGUAUAUGUAACCAUGGGUGCAGAGUAUUAUCUUGUUCUCCAAUACAGGGUAUUUUAUCGAGUUUUGCAAUCUUCAAAACUAUUUCGCGGUUUCAAUCCAUAUGGUUCUUCAAUAUUUACGACCAAAGUUUGGCCAAUGUAAUGACAAUCCCAAAAAUGCUUUGCAUCUGUUAAUCUGUGAUCAGGUAUACUAACCACUUUCGCUAGAAAUAGAAGCUUUAGGACCGCAACACUAUAGAACACUACUAAAGGCUCAGGACGUCAAAGGAAUUCGUACAGAAGGUACGUGCUUUUCCUGCCCGGACAAAUUCAUCCGCUAAUUCGGGCAGAGGACGGAUGAAUCAAAGCAAGGGCCAGGCCCCCAUCGUAUGGCAAAGCGCACGUCAGCUGCUUAUAAAAAUGGGCAAGGUUGUUCAGGAGGUGCGAUCACUAACCACUUAACCAGUUCAUAACUUCAUCAUCUCUUUUGUGUUUGUAUCCUCAUCACCUCAUGGUUAGUACUUAGUACUAGUGACUUUGUUAAUUCGGGGAAAAGCCCACCCAUCCCCUUUCCUGCGCACCCAGAGCAAAAGCGACGAUUUUCAAGCAACAAUUUCCGACCUUUUUUCUCCUUUUCGGCGCCAUGCAUGCAGGUGUGCUGGAGGGUUCACCUUUUUUUUAGUGUGUGAUCUUUUGGAGAUGUUAUUUUCAAAAAAAAAAUCUUUUGGAGAGGUUGAAAGUGGUCAACUAAAUUAUCUCUAAUGCAAACAUUUCCCUUAGGUGGCCUUUUUGCUUUUUAUUAUUCAGUAUAUCAAGCCUUUUAUGCCAGUUUCGACCAACACACUGUGUACCGACCUCCAUGUGAAUCUGGUGCUCAAAAAGUUAAUGCAGACUUUAUAAAAAUAAUGAACAAACUAUAACCACUUUUCUAAUCAAUUAUGUUUAUUUUUUCCGGGGACCAAUUAUGUUUAUUAAUCCCCCUGACUAAUGCUUGAUGAUAAAACCAGAAGCUUUUUUGAACGAAAUAAAACCAGAAGCUUUGCUACCACUGGUAAUGCUCGAUGAUCAUCGUUUCAUAUAUAGGACUCCGAUGCGUGCAUACCCAAAAGCACUCGCCAUGGCGGCCGCCCGAGUGGGCAUACACGGCGGCGCUGAAGAUGGGCAUGUAAAACCGGACGUUGACGCACGACAUAGGGACAAGGCCAUUCUGUCCCCACUCUCCAGCCACGGAUCCCAUCUGCUGCUCCUGGAGAGCCGGAUAUCCAUGGAGCGUGUUCAGACCUUCAGAGAGAUUCAGAGCUCGGACCAUCAUUACCGGUGGCUAAUGAUGGGGUUCGCUGCAGCAGAGCUGCUAGUGGGCAGUGAUCGAUCGGUGAUCCCGGCCCCUGGUCGCCGCUCCGAGUCGCAUUAGUGGACGAUGUCGUCACUUGAUCACCUGAUCGCUUGGCCUCUAAUCCUUCCUCCUCCCCAUUAACAAAUCCGAGUAAGUAACCAUAUCGAGGUGCCCACUGCGUGCCGAUGGUGGUCUCUAGCUUGUAGCGGAUGUGACGUGAAACGACAAGGAGAGGGGGGCAGAUGCUGCGAUAAAACACAGAAAAACGGAGUUGGCCAACAACACCUUGGAUAAAAAUGGCAGAACAGCGCAUUGUUGACUUGGUAGCGUCGUGGGAGGAGUCCCAUCGCCAGCCGCAAAUGUGCAGAUAGAUAAGAAGGCCUUGGAUUGGGUGAUUUUUUAUUUGGUUGCUUGAAAACGUUGCGCUGCGCACUGCAUUAUUGGACGAGAGAGAGAGAGAGAGAGCGAUGUGGUGGUGUAGCAAUCAACUCGAUGCUUAUCAUCUCGCUCAAAAUGAAGAGGAAAAACAUUACAGUAGUAUUGUUGAUGUCUAUCACUUGUGGAUCUGUGAGUGCACUUGGGAGUGUGGUUUCACCUCUGUAAUCUGCAUGAUCGUGGGGGAGCAUCAACGCCGAAAGCGUGAUGAUCUUCAGCUAUUGGAGGGUGCUCCAUCAUUCGUUGAUCCCUUGGUGGUGAUUGUAAGCACCGGAUAGAUACGUACGCCGACUUCGCUUCCCUGACAACAAAUCCGCGAAAGGGGGUACAAAAUCUGCUAGAAUUUCAACACUGCCGGAGAGUCCUGCUUUUCACCAGUCUCCACGCUAGUGGAAUAUCACAAGGAAUUAAUUAAUUAAUCAGUCGAAUUUCAAUGACGAAUCAAUUUCCCAUUCCCGAUCUUCCAUAGUUUGCCUGAAUUAGACUCACUGCGGUUUUGAUGUCACGGAAAAUGGCACGAUGCUAGCAUCUACAGAAGGCAAGGGGCCAACCAAACCAGUGACAGGCGGAGUCUUGGUACCUUCGACAGGACAACACUGCAUUCCCGCACGUUUGAGCUGCAGCGUACUCCGAUCCAUGUGAGAAGUGCAAGGCGGGGCUAGUGUAUGGCUCGUCUGGUAGCCCGGAUGAGCCUAGUUGGUGCAGGUUAGCUUUUUGGUAGCUUGGAUGAGGUCACUUAUCAGGUUGAGAUGGUGAAAAAAAAGGCCAGCCAGCCUACAUAGCGUGGAACGCCAAAAUCGACCGUUCCACGCGGUGCAGGCUCUGUCGGCCCAAGCAGUAGCGUUACGGUGAUCUCCGGUGCCUCGCGACCCAGCCCUGCACGUCUCGACGCUGGAGCGCUGCCGUGCCAUGGCCUCCAGCCGAGCACCAUCACCGUUUCGUCCUGGAGACUGCCUGUGUGCCCGCCACCUGCGCCCUCAGCCACCCCGCCGGCCAAGCCGCCGCUGGCCAAGCUCCUGCCAUGCGCCUCGCGGUUGAGCUGAGCUCAUACCUCCUGGAACCGCCGGCCCGCCACCCACCAGGGACGAGCUCAAGCACAAGCUAAAAUUCUUCGAUUAUUGAAAGAAGUAGUAGUUGUAUUUCUGAGAUUGAUGGCACGCACGCGUAUGAUGAGCAACUACUGCACGGAGGUUCGGGAGCUCAGGUUCUUGGAGAGCCUGGGUCUGGAGCCAAGCUACAUGAAGGAGAUGAUGGGCGAGCAGGAGCAUCACAUGGCUGUCAACUUCUACCCAUCGUGCCCCUUGCCGGAGCUCCCCUACGGCCGCCCAGCCCACACCAAUGACGAUGUAUGGAUGCGUGCAGCCUCGCUGAUGCGCCACCGUCGCCCCAUGCUCAGUGAGGAAGAAAUUGAAGGGGCAGUGUCAAGAGGGCCGAGCCGGCAUCUACAGCAAUGUCGGCUCCCUUGCUGGUGGUGGCGGCAGCAAGUUUGUGAGGGCCGAGGGGGAUGACGACGCUCGCGCUCCCCGAUUUCUCCUCGCAGCGAUAGUGGUGGCGGCAAGCUCGUUGACUGGGAAGCCCUGGUGGGAGCAGGUUGUGCGGCGCAGGCAAGUGGCCGUGGUGGGCGGCGAGCAGCGGUGCGUGACUGGUGGCGCGAGCACCAAGCGGAGGUAGCGAGCGCGGCAAGCAGCUGCGGCGUGAGGUGCGGCAUGGGCGAGCGUGGUAAGGGCCUGUUUGGUUAUGGAUGCUUAUUUAUAAGUUGCUUAUUUGCUUAUUAUGGUUGCUUAUUUAUAAGUCUUAGGUGUUUGGUUUGGGUUGCUUAUUUGCAAUAAAUGAGACUGCUAUUGACACAUUUGCCCCUACCAUCCCAUUUCCCUCUACCCUCACAUUUGCCUACUGCAUCAAAUAGGCUAAAUUCCCCUCCGACCUCUCUGCUGAUCCUCGCAUUGCUCUGUGUGAACCCCUUCCAUCUGUUCUCAUCCAUCAAGAUCUCAUAUAUGUCCUUGGCGCGGCAGUAGAACUUCUCCGUCAUCUCAAUCGUCUUGAACCCCUCCUUGUCCUUCCCCUUGGCCUUCUUCUCCUUCGCAGCCGGCGCAGGAGCGGGAGGCUCCUCCUUCUUCACAGCCGGGGCGGCGCCAGGCGCUGCGGCGCCGGCCUUGGCGGGAGUCUUCUUGGACUCGAGCUCGUCCUUGGCCGGGCCGCCCUUGGCCAUGGCGGCGACGAACUCGCGGAUCUUCUCGAGGACGAGGGGCUUGCCGCGGGCGAGGAAGGCGUCCUUCGCGCGGCGCGCGAGCGGGGUCUCGUCGCCGCGGACGGUGACGCGGAGGUCGGGGUCCUCGUCGGCGUUCUCGUCGGCGAGGUAGGGGACCUCGGCGGCGCCGGCGACCUCGGCGGCGCCGGACUCGGAGGCGGCCUCGGCCUCCCAGGAGAGGGUGAGGGAGAGCUCGUACCCCGGGAUGACCUUGCCCUUGCGGAUGUUGACGUAGGCCUCGCCGUCGAGCUUGUCGAGGGCCACGGUGUGGAGCGUGAGGCUGCCCUCGCCGUCGAGGACGGUGAGGCCCGCGAGGCGGGCGGCGGGCGGCGGCGGGCGGGAGGGGCUGCGGCGGCGGCGGGCUGGAGCGGCGGCGGCGGCGGGCGGCGGCGGGGAGGGACCGGCGGGCGGGGUGGGAGCGCCGGGCCGGGGGAGAGAAGGAGAGAGAGAAGGGGAUCUGGGGAAAGGAGAAAAGUGGGAGGAGAGAGAGAAAAGUGGUAAGGGUAGGGGGGUAAAGAGUACCCCAUAAGCAAAAUAAGCAGCUCCAAACUUGCUUAUUUGCUUACGCAUAAACAACUUAUAAGCAACUCUAUAAGCAAGGGUGUUUGGGUUAUAAGCAACUUAUUUGCUUAUUUGUAAGUUGCUUAUUUAUAAGCAAUGCUAACCAAACAGGCCCUAAGUCUGCCACAGCUAGGAUGUAAGGUGAGUCCACCAAUUUGUACAAGUUAAUAAACAAAGUUUUAAAUGAGCCAGACCCACCAAAUACAAAAUUGUCAAACAACAUCUCUGCAUCUCGUCAGCCUGGCUGAGCUGGUCAGAACCUGGCUCAUGGGCUGGCUGAGCCGGAGCAGGCUGCCACACGCCCCCUAUCUGAUCCUGAUCCUUGGGGAUCGAAGCAAAGGCCGGCCGGCCGGAUGGCCGGAUGGGUUGGCAUCGGUGACGAAUCCAGCAGGGUGACGACUGACGAAACCAAUCGAUGCUGAUGACUGGAGCGUGACUCGCUUUGAUUGCUUGCACGAAACCUUAGGAGUGGGAGGGGAUUGUACAUUGUAGUUUCUUUUAGGUCGGCGUCCUUCUUUUUUGGGGGUUGAUUGGUUGGGGCUUCCGUCUCGUAGCAGCGCCGCCGAUUGUGCUGUAGCGGAGAGCCGAGUCGGCACCGGCGCGCAGGCGCCUGCAUGGCAAGGGCGCACCUGCGCCCGCGCGCGCCGACCCCGCCCCUCCACCAACACAUGCGCUGCGCGCGCGCCCCUUGCUUCUGGCAGCGGGUGACGUACGGCACUGCCAUCCCGCCCGGACGGGCCCCGGCGCGGCAGACACGCCAGGGCAGCAGAGAUGCCAGGGUUCUCGCACUCGCGCCGUCGCGCGCGUGCCGCGGCGCCGCGGAAGCUAUCGGAGGAGAGCGAUCGAGAGGAACGCGCGCGCGCCCGGCCGGAGCCGGGCUGGAGCCCGGCUAAUACAUACGUUACGAGGUGGUUGCCAUACGCGCCGCGACGGUCCGCCGGUCCGGCGCGGCCUUGGCAGCCGGCUACACGGAGUACACGCGCACCGUGCGUCAUGGCAUGCACGGAUGCACCCCGGAACGACGACGCAGGUUCAAAUCUCCAUUCCAGCGCUUAGAUAAAAGUUAAAACUGCACAAAAACUUUGCAUCCGAGAAGGAGCGAUAUUAGCCUUUUCGCGCGUAUUAUUAUCCUCUCACUGACCCAUCAUUUUCGAGCAAGCCGCCGGCGCCGUGUCCUUGUCCGACAUGGGCCGCGACGCAUGCUCGCUCAAAUUGACUCUAGUUCGCUCGACGGAAGCUUGAGCCUGCACCACGUCAUCGGUCUCCUUAUCCAGACACUCGUGCAUCCUACUAUACACCUACUGUGCAUGCAACACAACCCUGGCACGCAAGAGCCCAUGAUUCUUCAAUCAAAGUGGCCAUGAUUAAACAGUUGAUGAUGAUCAAACCGACCAUGCCUUCAAGGCCAAGGAACCAAUUAAGGAUACACUCAUACACGUACGCCUGCGCUGCUUCUUCGAUGUGAUGAUUGGCGAUGAGACCGGUCUGGCUAGUGUCGGGGAGGCGCCAUCGAUCUCAUCGUAUGCACGCUGUCUGGCUUGGAAGCUCAACACCUGUAUGUCCCAGCCCGCUCGAGCACAAGGGAAGUAGGGAACGGGAAAAAAGGGUAAUCAUCACCGUACGUACCAGGCUUCGUUCUUCAUCGUUGCUUGCUGGCGUCUCUGUCGUUCGGCUUCAGAGGCUACGUACCACUUCUGGAUCGAUUUGCUUGUAACCGGCAAUCAAUUAUGGCUCUAUCAUCCAUUCAUCCGCGCGCAAUGUUGAAACUCUCAUAGCAGCCAACCCAAGGAUAAUAAAGUUUCAGCAUCUUUCUGAGAGAAUGCCCAUCAGCCAUGAACUCAUCAUGCCGCGAUGUGGCCAGCCCCCACAGCUACAACUGCACAAAGUGAUGCAAGGAGAGUUUAUUGAAAGGCAACGCUAGCUAGCUAGCCAACUGUCCCAUUGCUCUCUGUUAGGAAAAAAAACUGACCAGAAUGGAAGAAGCCACUAGUAACCACCCUUGGAUUUGUUUGGCAUUGCGACGGGAAUAAUGCGGUGUCCCAAAGCAAAGGGGAAGGACUGAACGAGACAAGAGCAACAUGCCCUUGACUCUCGAGCCUUCUGCUUGGGAACUGGAAAGCAUACAUGCACUGUGAAGAGUGACGGUCCUGUGUAUCUCUGUCCGAAAUGCUUUUAGUUUGUACUCAGCGGGAUUCUUCGUAUCUCCCUGUUACCUUUUGGAUACGAGCUGCUAAACUUUAACAGUAUCACAUCGGAUGUUCGGAUGCUAAUUAGAAGAACUAAACAUGAGCUAAUUAUAAAAUUAAUUGCAGAACCCUGUGCUAAUUCGCGAGACGAAUCUAUUAAGCCUAAUUAAUCCACCAUUAGCAAAUGGUUACCGUAGCACCAUAUUGUCAAAUCAUGGAUUAAUUAGGUUUAAUAGAUUCGUCUCGCGAAUUACACUCCAACUGUGCAAUUAGUUCUAUAAUUAGUCUAUAUUUAAUACUUCUAAUUAAUAUCAAACAUCCGAUGUGACGGAUGUUAAACUUUAAUAUGUUAGAACCAAACAGACCCUUAAAUGCUCAGAAGCGAAAAACUUGUCCUGAUUGACUGCGGCGUGUCUUCCAUCAUCGAGUGGUUGACAGGUGACGACGAUGCCGGUUGGUAGGAGACUAGGAGCUGCGUCUUACUAGUCUUUCAAGCACGCGGUACUGAUGUGCUGCUUCUCAAGGCCAAGGAAUGGGGCUAGGAUGAUACACGUACGCCAGCGCUAGCUCCACGCGAUAAUGGCCGGCAACGAUCGGGAUUGGUGACGAGGCUGCUGCGAGCUGGCUGCCAUGCGUGCCGGGCCAGGAGGCGCCGAUCGCGCGCGGUUUGACGCGCGCGCGGCGCGGCUGCUCUUUAUCUCCCUCUUUUAUCCAAGCACUCGUGCAUCCUACUCUGCCUACGUUGCAAAUCUCAACGUCGUGUGGUGUGGGCGGCCGACCUGCGCACUGCCGCCGGACCCAGCCGAUGCCGAUCUGCGUAGUAGCUAUAUGUCCAAGUGGCAGCUUCUGUCAUGCGUGGAGAUCCCUCUGACCUUCAAUUUUCAGCGGAACGUCUCUCUGAUCCCAAGCUAGCUGCCUGCUAGCUCCAAUCAUGCACAUACGUGUGUGCACGAAACGAUGUUUCCAGCCAUGCCGGCCGAGGUUGGUUAGCCUCGAUCGCCUACCUACCUCCAUCCACAUAGUGCCAGCGUGAGCAGGUAGCGAUUGAACAGUCGAACGAAGCUCUAUAGGUGGUGUGCCCUGUGCGGCUGUGCCCGCAACACCUGGCGCCUGAGCCCACAAUCCCAUCGAACCGACCAUGGCUUCGUGGCCAAGGGAUCGAUCCACGUACAUGCUACAGUCCAUGGUAUAUAUGAUCGGCAAUGAUUGGCCACGAGCUAGAAAACGCUAGUGGCUAUGCGCUAGUGUCGGCCAGGGCUAGAAACUCCGACGCGCGCGGUCGGCAUCAUCGUCAGCACGCUUUUACCUCGAUCAUCUCCUGAGUCCUCCUCGAUCGCUUGGAUCCCAAUCGAGCUCAAUAAGUGAGCGGAACGGAAAAGGAUCAUCACAAUUCACAAGUCGUCUUCGCCUUCGCCGUCUCUGUCCUUGACCUCCACAGCAGCCUUAACUUGCUAGUGACAGGCGAUUAGCAAUGGGUUGGAUUGGAUGGGCUGCUUAUCCGCAAAUGGACGACGUUUCUUGCAAGGAUAAGCAAAAGCAUGAAGAGCGUCAUCCCACAACAUAAAUGCCGGAUCAGCUAUAAAAGUGAUGGAUGACAAGACAGCGAUAUCGAUAAGGUGAGGUUUAGUUUAGGGCGUGUUAAGUUUAGCUCUUGUCACAUCAAAUGUUUCCAAGGUUUUACUAGCUAGCGAGCCUAGGGCUUAGGCUUCCUUUGCUUUGUUUAGCCUCGACACAUCCUGUUCGUUUCAGCUUAUUCAGUCGGCUUAUCAGCCACUGAACAGUGUUUUUCUCUUACAACAAAUCAGCCGUUUUAACUUUUCAGCCAGCUUAUAAGUUCAGCAUGUACGCGACGCGAUGGUGCGCGAGAAGAAGACAUGAAAGCAGUGGGAUGUGGUUGGGGGUCCUGGGCCCACUGACUACUCAGCCACUGCUGGGCUGGGAAGCAGAGCACGGUGGAGAUGGUUCGGCACUGUAUGUCUGUAUCGAUCGGUCUCUGCACAAAAUGUUUGUGCGGACUGGGAUCCUCUAUCCCGUCUCGUCGCCUUCUUUUUUCUGAGAAGAAAAUUCAGAACAAGACAGCCUGGCCUGAUUGCCAGCAUGCUGUCCGUCACCUAGCCGAGUGGUGGUUGACAGAGUGACGACAGUCGACGAGGACGUCGUUUGGUGCGAGCUGCCCUUGUUUUUUUCAAGCAGUGGUUAGUUGUCACGUUGGACUUCGAGUAUUUUGAGGAGUUCAAUCUUGACCUAUAUCACCCAGUGAGAUGCACUAUGAUUGGUGCCCGAGAAAUUUGGGUACGUUAGCACUCGACGCCGCGUGGUUUAAUCUAAUUACGUGGAGGAAUUUCAGUACUUCAUGUGAAAUUUGCAGGAAUUCAACGUAAAGCGGCGUAAUCCCUGAACUUUUGCGGCCGAAAUGCUCUUAACGCUCUUUUGUCGUCAGCCCCGCCGUAUAACUUCGUUUCAACAGCCCAUGGGCCGCCAAAUCGGGCGUUCUCGGCCCGGAUUCAGCCCGGCUUUUUGCUUCAAGGUAUCGUCGGCCGUGGUAAAGAAGGCCCACCGGUACCAGUGUGCAAAGUCAUGUAUACUACAGUACUAGGUCUAAAAAAAAAUGUAUAGUACAGUACUACAAGUAUAUCAUCGUCCCCUAAAAGGAACACAUUCUUAAAUCCCUGAUCCUUAAUAGGCAUUUAUGCAAGUAGCAGUACGAGCAAAUCGCCCAAUAUCUACCAACGCCACGUCAUCUCCGCCGACCGGCAUCGUGCGCCGUCCACGGGACCGGGGCCGCCGCGCUCUGCUUCUACCGGAGCCUGGACUUGAGCACGAACAUCCUGCACGACCGCGCCGCGACGUCGAACGCCAUCUUGUCCGUGAACGCGGUGUCCAGCGUCUUGUGCUGCGAUCGACGACAACAACAGCAACAAUGUCAAUCCGCUGUGCGGCGAUCGUACGUCCCGACGAGCCAACGCGGAACCGCGCGCGGCGUAUACGUACCAGCCACAGGUCCCUGGCCUCGACGGCGGUGCCGGCAGGGAGGCCGAUGUCGUCCCAGCGCGCGGUGAUCGUGGCCUCGUCCGUCGCGUGCCGGUUCAGCAGGACCACCGCCGUCCGGUAGUCCGACAGCGGCGCCGCCCAGAUCUCGCUGCUCCCCUCCAUCCUCACCUUCUUCGCCUGCACGCCGAGCGGAUCUGUCCCAGGCCGGGACAGGGCAGGAGCUCCUCCCCGUCAGUAAACUGAACACGAGCCACUGAAGCUGGAAACGCUACAGCAUGGUCUCAGCGCUCACCUUGGUUGACGGCGAUCACCUCCUUGUUGGCCAGGAUGUCGUACGUCUCCUGCGGCAUGUGCCUCAGGUCGCAGCCGAUGAUGAGCGGCGCCUGAACACGCAUCGGAUGGGUUCGAUCAUCGAUGAGACGGAAAGGUUCAGAGAAGGAAAUGCUAACUUUUUUGUUCUGCGAUAGAAUAAUGCGGAGGAAAUGGAUGUCACCUUGGAGAUCGCCCACAGGCUGAAGUGCACGACGUACUCGUUGUUCUUCAUCCCCCCGUUGCCCACCUCCAGCAUGUCCGGGUCUGCACCAUCGAAGAAGACGACGAAUUCAUGGCAUCGAAGAACACUUUCUAGGAUCUGAAAUGAGUGGUGCACAUGGCAUGGAGAAACCGGGCGGACCGUUCCAGCCGCCGGGGCGCGCGUACUCCGCCCACACCUCGUUCUGGUCCGCCGUUGCGAUCAUGCUGAAGUGAAACGCAGGCAACAAAGUAAACAAAAUCGGCACGGUGGCGAUGCGGCAAGAAGAACACGACGGCCAUGGAGAUGAACACGAACGCUGCCUGACCUCUCCCAGGUGUCGGCGAUGUCGUUGGUGGUCCUCCAGCUGUUACCGUAGGCCGCGCCCCACCGCGCCGGGUGCAUGUCGCCCCUGAACCACGAAUACGAUCGAUCACCGGAACAUGUCAGGAAACAGUGCAUGAUAUCCAUGGAUUCUAGUCAUUCAGGGUUAGAUUACUGAGGACAGUGACGUCGUCCGUGGCAACGUACCAUUCGCACAGCGAGAAGUAGAUGGGCCUGCCCGCCUUCAUCAGGGCCUUGCUCAUCUCAGGGUACCUGUUCACUCGCCACAAACUUGUCAGCAGGUACACUCACUCGGCUGCCUACAUCUGACUGUCAGGCAGGGAGACGCUCAGAUAGUCAGGAGGCUCAGGGCAGGCCAUUUGUGUCGCGCACCUCUCCAGCGGCUUGAGGUCGCCGUUGUUGCAGUUGUCGUACUUGAGGUAAUCGACUCCCUGCGAGGACAGAGCCAAGGAAACGGGACACGAAACAGUACUCGAAUCGUCAAAUCACACAUUAUCCUCUCCUGUUUGAUGAAAAGUAGUAGUAUCAGCAGAUGGUGCUGUACACUCACCCAUGCCGCGAAAGUUUUGGCGUCCUGCUCCUCAUGGCCGAGGGAGCCCGGCUGGACCUUGGCGCAGGUCUGGAACCUGCAGAGAAUUGCGCACGGGAGAAGAGAACAGUGGUUUACACUUUACACCAAGUGCAGUGCAGGAGGAAAGAGAAACGAAGGGAUCGCUUGACGACCAGAGCAGAGACAGAGCAUCGCUUCUCACCCGGCGUCGGAGUAAAUCCCGAGCUUGAGCCCCUUGCUGUGGACGUAAUCCGCGAGCGCCUUGAUCCCGUGCGGGAACGUGUUGGUAUUGGCCACCAGAUUGCCCUGCAUCCCGCCGGCGAUCGAAGAUACAACAUGCAAGGUUAAUUCUGCUCAGUUCAGUUCAGACACCAGCACCAUUCCAAAAAAAAAAAGUUCAGACACCAGCGAAUCGGCUUGUGCUUACCAUUGCAUCACGUUUUGGCUCUGCCCAGCAGUCAUCUGACAGACAAAGAACACAUGAUUAUCCAGUUCAAGCAAGAAUUAUUAUUAUUUUGCCGAAAAGGAAAGGAUGAAGAACCGGGAAGGCUAUAGUGGGGUGAGCUGGCGCACCGAUGUUGACGUAUUUGUAGCCGAGAGCAGCGAGCCCGGUCGACACGAGUGCGUCAGCUGAUGAUCGAGACAUGGGAGGCAAUCAAUCAAGCAAGAAAGAAAGAAACAGAGAGAGCAAGAUCAUCACUUCACCAGCCGCUCAAUUCAGAAUCAGAAGGCGAGCUCGACUGCUACUGAAACACACGAGCUGGGGCCUAAAACGAAGCUGAGCAAGUACCGGUCUCCCUGAUGACCACCUCGCCGUUGCCGUCGCACUGGAAGUGGUUCCAGCUGUUCCACCUGCGGUCAGGAAUCAGACUCGGAUCAACUCUCGCGCGACGAAGGCUGACACUUCACACUUGGCAAGAUGCCAAGGUUACACAAGGAACCACAAAAGAAGAAGAAGAAGAAGAAGAAGAUAGAGGUCUUGCAGGUCACACCCCAUGGGAGGUGCCGAGCCGAGGCCAUUGGCCAGCAUGCUCCGCCGGUGCGGCUCCUCCACGUGCACCACCUUGGCCUCCGCCGCAACCGCCGCCGCGAGAAGCAGCACCAUCAGCGCCAGCCUCGCCGGCGACGGACCAGUACGACGGCCACCACCCGCCAUCGCUGCCCUCCCCGAACCAGAAAAACCUUCACUCCGCACGAGAUCAAGACUUUGUCACUCGUGCCUUCGUCUCGGACUUUCGUCGCUCCUUGCCUUCGUGGACCAACACUUGUGCUCCCCCGGCCAUUUAUAGACCCCCCGCGACUGAUGAUUGAUGAGGGGCGCUUUAUCGAAUUUUUCCAGCACGGACGCCGACCGACGUGUCGCCUUCGCCUUGUCGGAAAUGGGCACACCGGAGCACAGAAGCGCCCAGGCUCCCUCACACGUGAUCGGCGGGCAGAGUGUACACGUGGGCUUUUAAGCAUGGGCCCACUCGGCAUGGGCGCCCCGUCAAGGAUGCCCCACGGGUAAAGAGAAGCGGCCCACUGGCCCAGGACGAUAGACGAAUCGGAAUCGAUCCACCGGUUUGAUUCCCAGCGGCCAGCGCAACGUUAUCCGGAGGACGCGACGUGAUGUGGACUCGUCUCUUGCGUCAUUGUGUGUUUUCAGUUCGUGCGUAGCAGGCUAGCAGGGUAUGGCAGGAUACCGUUAAGUCAUGGAUUACCAUAACAAAGUUUGUGAUCAUACAUAAAUUCGCGGAAAGGGCUCGCACGGAUCUGCGCAGGACUAGACACGUAUCGGGGUUCGGGAGCUGAGCUCGCGGAUUCCCGGCGCAUGACGUCACUAUCUCGUACGGAACAUCGAGGCUUUUGCUUUUGGGAUAAUGGGAUAAGAUAGGAUAACUCGAGCAGAGCUCAAGCAGCUGCAUACUGGAAGUCUCAAACCAAUCACUAUACGUUCUUGGUUGGGCGCGAUCACACGCCACGCGCCAACGAGGAACCCGCAACGAUCUGAUCAUGUUAUGCCCGUCACACGCCAAUGAUUGACCCAUUACACGUAGCGGGAGCUUACGGGCAGCUCCCGAACGUACGUACUCCGUGCAGGCGAUCUCGUCAGCCUUUUCCAUAAUGAUUUGUGGGCCGUGGCACGUGUAUAAUUUAAAAUAUAAUAAAUAAUUUUAAAUAAUUUUUAUAAAUAAAAUAAGAUAGCAAUUAUUAUAGAAAUCCGAGUAAGCAAUAAAAGACAUAUCGAUUGAAAUAAACGAACCUAUCUUUAUCAACUAACGGUCUGUACGGACCUUGACCAUAUACUUCUUCACCUUUUUUUAAUAUAGUCAUACAAAUAUUUCACCGCAAGGUAAUGGCUUCUACACUCUAACCCUAGUGUAGUGUAUACUCUUCUAAUUCACAUCUCGGCGCUAUGUUGGACCUUUAGCCUUUUAGCUGAGCAGCUCGGCUUGUGAACAAAAACAAGUAAAAAUAGCUGCUCGACUCGUUUAAACCUGUGUGCCCAUAGGAAAGAUCAGCUGCAACAUUGCAAAGUGUUUUGGACGCAUCAAUGUAAUGCUUUCCAGAUGUUCCAAAGGACCGCCGUGGUGACUGCCGAGAGUGCCGCCGGGGCAGCGUCGUCAGACAGAUCAGCAAGAGUCCAGAGGUUGCGGUAGGAGGUCAAGUGCAGGGCGGCAAUCCAACCAAUGGCGCGCCAGACAGCAGCUGCUCGGGGACAACGCAACAGGAGGUGGUGUUGAUCUUCGUAGGCGUCGCAGAAGGCACAAGCGGCAAAUUCCACAAUAUUCCGGUGAUGCAACAAUGCAACCGGAGGAAGGCGGUGAUGAUGCAUGAGCUAUAGGGAGUGCUUGCACUGUGGUAUGACGAAGUUUUGCCAGAUGGAAACCGCGAAGUUAUCAAGAGGCCGUUGUUGCAUGUGUCAAGCAUAGAGUUUGGUAGAAGAGAACGGCUGCAUAAUCCAACUUAUAUAAUUUAAUUUAGGUGGAUUAAUUCCAAACAAACAGAAUCUAAGAAUACUAAUGGGAGAAUACUAAUGGGGGCACGAGCACGCGAACCAUUCUUUGACGUAUGAACACAGCUGCCGGGCAGGUCCUAAUCUCGCAUGAUUACUUUAUGGGGUCGAUAGCGUGACCGCCCCAGUCGCUUUGGAGCCAAAAGUGUACUUCGCCUUUUUAUUUUUAUUUUUCCCGAGGGUUGAGCUUCCUUUAACGCUGCGAGCCUGCGACACACGACUUCGCCAGAAUUAAAAUGCUUCUAGCAUCAGUUUGGCAGGGUGUUGAACGUGCGUUGACUUCGAUCGGGUUGUACCCUAAGCCCAUUUUAAGUUAAGAAAAGCCGCCGGGUUCUAUAUCGAGCUAUCAAGCUUCUCUGUCUGUACCGAAAAGUAGUCGACAGCAUGGAACCGGCACCUGCAACACGUCGUUCAGAUGUGUGCCGCUCCUUUGACGCACGAGUUCCGUGAACGAAAUCGUGCGGCAACUGACGCACACUGCACGCGUACUCCUGCCACGCUUGCUUGACCAUGCACUGCUCCACUCCAUUGCACCCACCCCGACAAGGCCACAACCACAACAAUAACCUACAAGCCAGCAAGGGAAGGCUGCGAGCUUCGCAAUUGCCUCGUGGGGGUUGGGUGGGGACGGGUCCCACCUGCCAGCCACCGCCAAUCCGGGGCCGCGCCAACCAUUAACUUAACGGCUGCUCUCAUCACAUCUGAUGAUAACGCGCACCGCAAUGAUCCCGUGUCAGUCAGCGGUCGCGCCGGUGGCGCGGCGCGGCGGCAAAUGAUUAUUAGUAGCCCGCACAGCGCAGCGAUAACCAUCGCGACGCCGCUAAUGACCCGGAUUAUUAUUUUACUAUCCAGUCCAUCCCCGCAGCUGCCUGUCUCGGCGCCCCAACCCAGGCAGGCACCCACCGCCCGCGGCGCUGCCACGUCGUCACCCCACCGCGGCCGCCUUCCUCCCCACCAACUCACCGGCGAGUUGAGGACACCCAGCUAGGCCCAGCGCAUCUCGCCGCGGCGAUGCCGUAUAUAUCCACCCGCGCGCCGAGCGACCACCACCGCCCGCCCGCCCCCAACCCCACGUCCUCGCAAAAUUCGCCAAACUGCCCCUCUCGUUGAAAAAAAAAGGGGAAGGCGAGGGGAAAGGGAAAAGGAUUUUUCAGAUUUUGCGGGCAGCGACCGACCCCCACAGCUCCGCGCAGCUAGCUACCUUCCUCGCCCCGACAUGACACCGCAUCUGCCCACCGCCUCCUCCUCCUCCUCCACCCGCGCCGCCGCGGCGCACCACCACCUGCUCGACGCCGCCGCCGCGCCGCCGUCCUCGCCGCACCAACGCCGCCGGAGGCGCCGCCGGGUGCCGGGCUGCCUCCGCCCCCGCUCGGCGGCCCCCGUCCGCUGCUGCGCGGCGGCGGCGGCGGCGCCCGCGCCGCAGGCCGCGGUGCCUGUGGCGCGGGCGGCGGCCGCCACCACGCGCGUCUUCGUCGUGUCCGACCUCCACACGGACUACCCGGAGAACAUGGACUGGGUGCGCCGCCUCCCCGCCGAGGUCGGCGCCGGGGAGGGCCCCGGCGUCGACGCGCUCGUCGUGGCGGGCGACGUGGCCGAGACCAGGGACAACUUCGCGCGCACCAUGGAGGUGCUCAGGGACCGGUUCGGGGCCGUCUUCUACGUGCCCGGGAACCACGAUCUCUGGCUGCGCCGCGAGGGCGGACGCUACGUGAGUCGAUCCUCCUCCGCUCCUUCUCCCCUCCCAGCUCCUCCAUCCGCCUUCCAUGCCCUGCGAGCAAGGUGUUUGACGAAAUGCCCUGCCUUAGCUGUUCCGGCAUAGGUUAGUCCACCCUGAACCAUCGAUACAGCUAGCCGUAGCUGGAUUUGAUCCAACGGUACAUUGUAACGUUUGGCAGCAGCAGCAGCAGCCUGGUUGGCGCUUGCCCCUGUUUAGUAAGCUGCUUAGAGGCCUAAUUUUAGAUGUGGCAAAGUAUACCAAUGGGGUUUUGAUUUUAUUCAAUGCUUUCUAGCAUUCCUGUCCAUCUGAGCUACAUUUCAUUUAUGAAUGUAUUUAUUUAUAUGCUGACAGAAAGGGUUAGCAUUGCACUUAGAUAAUUGCUACCUACAGAUUACUUUUUGGGUUUUGGGAGAGAGAGCUCUUAAGUAACUUGUGCAGAUUGUUAGCUAGUUAGCUAGUACACAGCUGAAAGGGAUGAUAUGGGGUUGUAUUCUUAGCUAAAGCGUAUAUUAAGUACACGAUAUUCUACUUCUGAGUACAGCAUUUACCUUUUUUUAUCGAAUCAAUACAGAAUUACUGUAUCAUUGUUGAGGCUCUCUCAGUUACUCAAAUUGUUCCUUCCAGAUGGAUUCGCUGGAGAAACUGACUGCAUUGCUUGAUGCGUGUAGUGAGCUGGGUGUGGAUACAGGCCCAAGAAUGAUAGGUGACUUGGGAAUCAUACCAUUGUUCUCAUGGUAUCACAAGGUCGUUUAGUUUUCCUUGCUUCAGUAACAGUGGAUAUUAAAGCCAUAUUACAAUGCAUUGCAUUCUUAGGAUUAUCCUGCUUUUCUCAUCUUUCUUAAUUGGUUGUCUCGACUCUCCAGAGCUUUGACAAGGAGAAGGACGUUAACAGUGUGCGCGUUCCUUCGCUAGAGAUGGUAUGAUGGUCUUUCCCUCAAUACAUAUUCCUCAUUUGCUAAUAACUGUUACAGUGUUACCAAUUAUUGUCAAUUAGUGCAGUUUAAAUUUUGUUUUUUUCUGGGUAUAAAUGAUGAGCUGUCAACUAUGAAAUUCCAUCAUCUGUGUUUUACAUCUUGACAUGACCCAGGACCUAUUCUUUGACCUUGUGUGGCAAUACCAUAAUUAGAUUUGCCUUUUUUACAAUGUUAUGUGGAUUCCAUAUUAGCAAGAGGACCACUUGAUUUAUUUUGCGCAAUUGGAUACCACAAACCAGGUCUUCCAUCACGGCCACUAACAAACUCACUGUCUGAGUAUUCAUACUAUGCUGUACAAUGAGAAAUAUUGCAUUCACACACACUGAAGCACAGUUUAAUGGUUAGGCAUGCCAUCAUUGCCCUCUUUCUUAGUUUCUUCUUAAAGAACUUGGCACAAUAAAUCCUGAAAUUCCUUGUAUCUAUGAACUGAUAAUUUCUGGUUUUGUUUGAUCAGGCUUGUAAAGAUUUCCAUGCUUGUAAAUGGCCUUCAGAUCUGGCAAAUGAUGAUGAGUCUCUUGCUCUUUACUUUGACAAAUUGAACGACAAGAAUCAUGAUGCUAUUGAAGAAGUAAAAAAUAGCAGCAAACAGAUACUAACAUUUUCACACUUUGUACCAAGGUGAGUUCUUUUUUUCCUCCUAUCUUGACCUUCCAGUUCAGAAGCCAGUUGUAGUUUGUUUGAUCCCUAGUUCUGAUAGUAUUCUUUGAUUGCAUUACUUAGUGUACAUCAAUUGAUCUAAUCUAUGUAAGCUCUUUAAUAUUUGUAAGUUGAUGACACCUGCACAAUGGAGCUUAAUUUAGGGGUAACAUUCCUUCUAUUAAAAAAUUCACUGUGUGUCUCGUUCUUAUUUAGUCAUCAUUCCUAGCAAUUGCAGUGUCUUUCUUGUCGUAUUUUUUUAUUUAUUUAUGAUGAGAACACCUUAAACUGCUGUACCAUUCUUAGCAAAUGUACUCCUUUUGUUGUCUUGUUGAAGUGCCAGUUUAGAACAACAAAGUUUAUAGCUGCAGCGGUGGUUUUCAAUUUGGCCAGUUUUGUCUGAACUAGCCAUUUGGCGUGUUAUGCUCUGUAACAUAGAGGAAAAGAGAACUGUCUAAUUACAUUAAAAUUGCACAACCAUCUGCUAUGUGAAGCAUAUCCUAAGUCUUCUAACUGGCCUCUCUUACCCCCACUAUAUUUGGGGUUUCCUGUGUUACUUUAAAAUUUCAGCAUAGCAUGUAUAUGCUCAUGGUCCGAAAGUGAUAUCCUUUGUACAAUUCUGCAGGCAAGAGUUGUGUCCGGAGAAACGGAUGCUUUAUUACCCAUACCUUCCAAAGGUCAUCGGCUCUGAUUUCCUGGAGAGGAGGCUGAGAGAUAUACACAGUAACAGAAAAGAUGGAUCAGCUUGCCAUGUUUUUGGGCACACACAUUUCUGUUGGGAUUCUGUUGUCGAUGGGAUCAGGUACUGAUCCGUCCAUUGUAAGAUCAAGAUGCAAAAUGCUUAUCCUAACUCUUACAAUAUAAAUCCCCUCCAAUGUAGGUACGUACAAGCUCCUUUGGCAUACCCCCGAGAAAGAAAACGGAGAAUGAACGGCGAAGGCUGGCUACCAUUUUGUGUAUACCGUGAUGGCUUCAACCCUGAAAUAUAUCCAGCCUUGUGGUCGGACUACUACAACAAGAACAAGAGGGAGCCCGAGAACACACAGCUCGCGCCGUGGGUUGCCAGGCAUUUUGCAAAGUACCAUAAGUUCCACUGACCCCUACUAGAGUUCAUGUUUUGCCAAACUGGAUGCAGUCCGUCCCAUCAGGACGGUGUUGGAGCCUGCAUUUACCUGGAGGAAAACGAGAGAUUGACGUUUUACCUGUACAUGAAUUUUUUUUAUUUUUUUGUUCCCACUCUUACCAUAGACUUGUGGCCAAGGAAGCGCCUGCCUGUGUUGGAUGUAUGUUGAAAAAUCAGAAUAAUGUGUAUAAGAUUCUUCAAAGCCUUGCUGCAAAGAUAGUGACAUAUAGCUUAUUCUGUUUAUCUAACCAGCCUCAUUUUACUCUCCAGUCAUGAAGUUGUAACCUGCGAAAUCACUGAGAAAUCUGCUUUAAUCCCCCGAUUCUGGUAUGUUGGGCUUGCAUUUUUUUGAAUCCGAUUUUCUGUUUGAGGGCUUGUGUGAAUGGGAUUUCCUGGUAAAACUUGUCUCAUUCAGACUGUCUGAAUGAAGGGGACUUCCGUCUUACUCCUAACUCAGAUGUAUGUCUUUAUCAAAAAAAAAAAAAACUCAGAUGUAUGUUGAUUCAGACUGUUUGAGGGCAUGUGGCCUCUCCUAACUUCGUUCAGAGUUCAGACAUCCCUUGCUCGGUUUCUCCCCUUUGCUUGCUGUCACCCACACUCCAAUUCUUCCCCAACUCAUCCCCAGCCGACGCCAGCAGUAGGCCUGCUAAUGGGAGGUCUGGUCAAACCCACUCUUGUUCCGUCGCUGGGGAAGAAUUGGAACUGCUUCGGUGUAGUGCUGGUAUGAUCGCAUCCGACAUACUAGCCACUCUCCUUGCUCUUAUGCCCGCCCCUCGACGCGCCGCCUGAGCCGCGUGGGCCCCGCAUCCAAGGUCCUCCGUGCGGGUCGCCUCACCGUUUUAUCCAUGAGCGCAUGAAGAAAAGCCUGAAAAUGUUCGGGGAAUGUAGCUGCGACAAAAUAGCCGCGUGUCGCCUUCUAGUGCGCUGUUGGGGCGGCGCGGCAUGGCGGCGUCCCCGCCGGUGAGCAUCCGGAUUAGGAUUUCGGGUUUUGGGGGUUCGGGGUUGCUGAGGGGAGGUUCAUGGCUGGCGGCCUUAGAAAAGGGGGAGGGGCAGGGAGGUCUGGCGGCGGAGGCGGGUUGCGGGGCAACGUAGCGCGGCGGCAGGGACAUCGCCAGCCGGGGGCGGCAGGUGGACAAGCGGUGGGCUAGGGACUGGGCGGGAGCAUGCCUGUAGCUUGUCGGAGAUGGUGGAGGAGACGGGGAAGGUCGCCAGGUUAGCGCGGCGGCAGGUCGUGGGUGGGGUGGCAAGACGGUGGGGUGCCGCCGGCCGCUGGUGAUGGAGUUGGCGGGGGUGUCGCGGCCAGCAUCUAGGCGGAGUUGGGUUAUGACGGCAGUGGAUCGUGGAGGCGAAUCCGGGGGCGGGAGCCGCUGGAGAUGAGGUUGAAGGGCGGCGCGGGGGAAAAGGCAGCUCUGCUGAGCCGUAGACGAGGGUUAUUGGUCUUCGGCAACAUCCAGCUGCACCCUCUUGUUCACAUCCAAAUCUAAAUAAUUAUUAUCCACUCUCACCCUCCCCAAGCUCACCCUCCCAAGCUCACCCAUAUUCAAUGGGUAAUUAACUAUGGAUAAUUAACUUUGUACUACAUUUAUAUACAUAUCCAAUUGAUUAAUUGUACAUAUAAUUUUCUACCCAUACCACAUUUAUAUACAUAUCCAAUAGAUUAAUUACCAUAUUUAUAUAGUACAUAUCCAAUAGAUUAAUUGUGAUAUUAAUUACCACAUUUAUAUACAUAUCCGAUAUAACCUCCGCUCCCCCAUUCGGACCGCCCUUUGCUCCCCAUUCGGACCGCAUGGCGUGGAUAAACCAUGGGUUUUAGCCGGCUCCUCUGUCUGGGUACACCGUUGCUUAUUAGCUUCUCCUAACCCAUUGGUGAUCUUGCUACAAGGUUACACUUAAACACAUAGUCAGUCGGUCAAAAACAAAAAAAGGAAGAUGGAACGGGCAAUCUAGAGAAGCUUACGACAAGGUACUCCUAGGAGAGCAUACUUCGAUGCCAGAGCCCAGAAGCAUCCAGCAGAUAAUCAGACAGUCACACAGAUAUACAAGUAGUGUUGCUCCUUUUACCUCGGAUUUUAUUACACGCUUGCUACUCACACCGUGCAAUGUACACCGCCUGAUUCACCGUCUCCAAACACGGGGGCAAUCAACAGGGUACGUAGCGUACGGGCCCCUUAUUAACUGGUUCACACGACACACAAAAUAUAAUGCAAACACACACGCACACACUGUCCCGACACAUGCACAACAAACACAAGACCCGAUCGGACUAAGGAAGGAGACGCCACCGCGGCGGCCGGCGGCUAGCUAGUAGUCCUCCGGCGCGAGCGGCUGGUGCGCGUGCGGCGCGGCGGCGUCGGCGGACGGGAUGACGAGGUACUCGUACACGAGCCCGGCGACCCCAGCGCCGAGGAAGGGCCCCAGCCAGUACACCCAGUGGUGCCUCCACCGCCACCCGACGAGGGCCGGCCCGAACACCCUCGCCGGGUUCAUCCCGGCGCCGUCGAACGGCCCGCCCGCCAGCACGUUGGCCCCCAGCAGGAACCCCACGGCGAGCGGCCCGAUGGUCCCCACGCUGCCCCGCUUCGGGUCGAUUACGGUGGCGUAGUAGGCGUACAUGAGGCCGAACGUCAUGGCGGCCUCGAGUAGCACGGCGUGCCAGUCGCCGACCCCCGACGCCAGCGCGAACCCCGGCGGGCGCAUCCCGCCCGUGGCCAGCCUCAGGAGCAGCGACGCGGCGAUGGCGCCCAGCAGCUGCGCCACCCAGUAGAAGACGGCCCGGACGAGGGAGAUGCGGCCGCCGAUGAGCGCGCCGAAGGUGAUGGCAGGGUUCACGUGCCCGCCCGAGAUGUUGACGGCCACGGCCACGGCCACCGACAGGGCCAGCGCGUGCGCCAGCGCCACCGCCACCAACCCGCCCGCCGUGCUCAUGUCGUGGUACAUCUUCCCUGCAUGCACGGGCACCGCAUGUAUAUAUGUGCAUAUAAUGGAUCAUCACUUGUCAAUGAGACCAUGCAUACGUACCGAGGGAGAGGACGGAGCCCUCGGCGGCGAAGACGAAGAUGGCGGUGGCGAGGAACUCGGAGAUGGCGGCGCGGAUGGUGUCCGGGUGCGUCGCGUCCUCGCUCCGCCCCACCGUGAACCGCCGCCCCGGCCGCGCGCCCGUGCUCAUCUCGGCGCCGAUCCAAAGCUACCUGCUAGCUUGCAGCUGGUUGCUACCUCGAUUACCUCUCCUUCGUCUCUGCUGUGCUUCUCUCUGUCACUCGCCGAGACCAAGUGUGUGCUAGCUGUUGCCGACUCGCCGCGGUAGCAAGCGUUAAGAGGCGAGCGCCCGGUCAGGAGGUGCGGCGACGGCCGGCGCGCGUGGCUUAUAACGUGGCCAGGCCGUGCGCGCGGCCGCGCCACGUGGAGGCGCCGCGGGCCAGCUGGGCGGCACGUCUCGGGGGGCGACCGUCCAUGCGUGCCUCACGAGCUCGGAGCUCUCGUGCUGAUCCGUAACCGUGGGGCCCGCGCGCCAGGUCACGGGCACAUCACGGCGAGUAGGUGUGCGUUUUCCCCACGGAUGCGUACGCGCUGCCCUCUAUCCGUUCGCCAUGGCGAUUGCUCGUGUCGCCAUGCCGCCACUUCGUUCCAGAGGCUCUCGUGGUCGAUGCAUGAAGCAAGUAUUGUUCACUGUUCAGUGCCAUGAUGGGAUGAUGCUAGCUAGUCUAUUUCUGCAUGCUGAAGCUGUGUGUAUGGCCGUGCCUUGAAGUGCACUUAUUGUUCGAUCGGUUGGUUGAUGCAGUGCAUUCACGCUUAGAGUUCGGAUUUAAAACUUUUUUAAACGAAGUUAUAUCAAAAAGAAGAUAAAGUUAAAGGGGUGUUUGGAUACGAGGUGUUAAACUUUAACAGUGUCACAUCGAAUGUUCGGAUGCUAAUUAGGAGAACUAAAUAUGAGCUAAUUAUAAAACUAAUUGCAGAACCCUAUUCUAAUUCGCGAGACGAAUCUAUUAAGCCUAAUUAAUCCAUCAUUAGCAAAUGGUUACUAUAGCACCACAUUGUCAAAUCAUGUAUUAAUUAGGCUUAAUAGAUUCGUCUCGCGAAUUACACUCCAUCUGUGCAAUUAGUUUUGUAAUUAGCCUAUGUUUAAUACUUCUAAUUAGUAUUCAAAUAUCCGAUGUGAGGGGUGUUAAACUUUAACACUAGUGAGCCAAACAGGCCCUGACUGGACGAGAUAAACACGAAUAUUGGUAGGUUGGAUUGGAUCAUCUACACAUGCCGCACCACGCCAUCGCAGUUAACUCAACUUAACAACACAUCAGCCGGUUGGAUUGGGACAUCAACACGUGCCGAACUCAACACAUCUCAAGCGGAUUUAACUCCGCCCGCCAAACGGCAGCAGAGCCGAAGCCUUUCCGUGGCACCCACCAACAUUCCCGUUCAUAUAGUCGCUGAAACCUCCAUGCCAGAUUGAAAGGAGUCGGUGCUCGUAGCCUAAGAGGGGGAGGGGGUGAAUUAGGCAACUUAAAAACCUUAACCUAUGGCUUCUACUAGUUGCAUCAAAAUAUAAACUAGAUCAUGCUAUCUAGAUGUGCAAUCUAUGGUUGAUCUAGUGUGAAAUCCUCAUCCUAAAAUAAGUUUUGCAAUCUAUAGCCAAUCCUAUCAAGAUACUACUCUAGAAAAGUAAAGGCACGCAAGUUGCAAGAAGAAAUGCGGAAAUGUAAGAAGGGGAUGAAGGGAAGCAAACUCUUGACACAAGAAUUUAUCCCGUGGUAUCGGUAGGCACUAAGCCACCACUAGUCCACGUUGUUGAAGCACUCAUACAAGAGUAUUGCUUCCUGGUCACCAAGUCUCUCCCAAGGUGCCCCUUGACUUGCCACAAAGGCUCGGUCACUAAGUGUCAGUGCGAAAUCUGGCCGACAAGUAAAUAUUUGUAGUUUUACUGUGCAUUAGAUCGGAUAUGGCUUAGCACACAAUGACACAGGAUGUAUACUGGUUCGGGCAACACGCCCUACGUCCAGUCGGGGUCCGUCGAUCGACUUUAUUCUUGAGCUCAGGUGCUCAAAGUUUGCGGUAGGGGUACAAACGAGAGGAGUAUGAGAGGGGGGUGCCUGAGUCCUGGCCUUGUUCUCGUCUCAGUGGAAGAGAGUGGCAGGAGCUCAGAAGUGCGCUAAGUGUGUGAGAGUGUGAAAGUGUAAGAGUGCAUGUGUGAACGUCCGAGUGCCCAGAAGUGGAGGGUCCGUCCCUUUUUAUAGUAAAGGGAACAACCUUACAAGUCGGAGAAGAUAAGAUAGUGAGUGUACAGGUGCUGCCUAGUCUUGUUGAAGCCCACGUCGCCUGGUGCGGUAUGACCUCCGUCCUCGGUCCCUGUUCUCCUCGUCAGGCCACUCCGUCGUAGCGAGUAGGUUUACGGUGGCACUGUGCAAGACGUGUGCAGGGCGUGCCGCGGUACGGUUUUGCAUACGGUCGGCUGACUUGAGCGCUUCCUCGUUUUCCAUCCCACCUGCUCCCUGAGCCCACACCAGGCGGGCAUCCCCGAUCGGUUGUCCCAGUCGGCCUCGAUCGAGUCGCUCAGGGGGAGCGGUACGGGCGGUACGCUGCAUCCCCAUUCGGGAGGACUUGGUCGGGAGGAGUUGGUCGGGAGAAUUCAGUUGGGGUCGGACAGUGGCUUCACCCCCGAUGGCUCCUUCUGGUCGGGGUGCCGACUAGGCUUCCUGGUCGGAGGAGUCGGCCGGUGGCCAGAUCGGGGCCUCGGCCUGGCUACGCGUAGCCGGCCCGGCCCAGGUGUACGUUAUUGCGGUGCCCUUUGUUGGGCCAAGUGUUGUGGGAAGGUUAUCCCGUUGGGGACCCCGGGUCUAUGGACCCGUCAGGAGCCCCUGAGCCCCUUUUGGGCUUUGUUGAAGCCAUGAAGGGGCUUUCGGUCAGAAUGUCCUGUUAGGGAGAAACACACGGGGGUGUUGUUUGUCUUUGUCUUGUUUGCAAAGUGGGCAAGCCACAUUGUGGGCCCAGCCUCAUAUCCAAGAUGAUAAGGACGAGCUCCCGCGUGGGGAUCGUACCGUUGCCUCAUGGCCCGGUACCUUCACCUCGAUUUCCUGCGCCUUUUAUUGCAUGGUAGUCGAACCAUCGCCUCAAAGCCAGGCAUCUUUAGUGCGCGGUUGCUGAACCGUCACUUUGAUGCCAGGCACUUUUGUCAUGCGUCCAUGAACGCGCAUCGUAACUGUUCCCGGACGGUAACCGGCCGCUCGGUUAUAAAUAGGAGGGGUUCCACAUCUAGAGUCCCCAUGGCUCGGGUUGUAGAUCCAGUAGGUUUGAGACUUUUUCUCUUCGCCAUAGGUGGCUUUGGCCACUCCUCAUGAUGCUAGAAGAUCUCUUGUAAUAGGUGUUUCUCCUCCCUAUCGCAGCCUCCUCCAGCAUGUUCGGGUGCCAUGAUGCGAGAGGAAAUCUCGUAACGUGGAUCCGUUGUGCAAUGAGAGGUUGGAUGAGAGGACGAGGGCACCGCCUCAGGAGGAAGGGGAAGCAUGGCCUCCUUGUCCUCCAUGCCGUGCUCGUACCCUAGGCCGUCGAUCUCUAGAGGUCAUCAUCUUGACCUGUUGUGUGCACGGCGGCAAUAUGUAGGUGUCAGUAGCUGCGCGCGGCUCCGAGCCAGUUUACCCAGGUGUCCAGCACACGGUUCUCGCACUCCCUCUAUGCCUUUUCUUCUUUAUCCUGGUCACCACAGAGGGAGGAGAGAACUUUGCAGCUGAGCUGCUUCUGUUCUUUUACCUUCUUCGGCCCUCGGCGUCCCUCCCUUGGAAGAAGGAGAUUGAAGAAGAAUCGGCGAGGACGGGUCGACGAGAGAGGUUUCGAGCGUAGCUUUGUUGCAUUGCAUGCGCUCUUUUUGUUUCGUUUGGUCCCGUGUCAUAGGGUAGUCCCUGGGUUGUACUCACACGCUUUGCGUGAUAUUGUAAGGCCUUCGGGCUCCCAUGUUUGCACGCUUUGUGUGAUAUUAUAAAGCCUUUGGGCUCUCGUGUUCGCACGCUUUGCAUGAUAUUGUAAAGCCUUUGAGCUCCUAUGUUCGUACACUUUACAUGAUAUUGUAAAGCCUUUGGGCUCCUAUUUUUAGCUUAAUGAAAGCUUAUAUUCGACAUGUGAUUCUUGUGCCCAUCGCGCUAUUGAGGCAGAUUGUUGUCGGGGCUUUUGACACUUUUCCCUUUGUGUGUCGCAUUGCGUAGGGCAGAUGAGUAGGUUCAGGCGUUGUAGCCCCUGAGUAGGUAAAGGCGCCCAGCUCUCGAGGGGAUGAUUGGCAGAGGCUGCAGGGGCGCGUCAGAUAGAUACUGACGCCUAACUCUCAAGGAGAUAACUGGCGUGGGCCCCAGGGGCGCGCCGAGUUGCAGAGGGUGCCCACCUCCCGAGGAGGGGACUUGCUUGUUGUCCACCUUCCGCCGGGUUCGCACGAGUGAGCCCGGUGGGUCUAGCCCCCGAGCCUAUGGCCGACUAAGGAGUCAGUCGGAGGUUGAGCACUUUGGUACCCCCUUGACCAGAAGCGAGUUGAGUGGACACUAGCGCCCUUCUCCUGAGGAGGGGAUCUGUUGCCAGUCCGGCUUCCACCGGGUACGCAUGAGCGCACCCGGUGGUCGUAGCCCCUGAGCCUGAGGCCAACUGGAGAGUCGGUGGAAGGCUGAGCACUUAGGUACUCUUUUCUGGUGCCGCAGACUUUGGUGUCCCUGUCGGUCGGGAUGAUGUGGUCCUUCUUGAAAGUUGGGGUGUCUGCCUGUGUUCAUUCCGACCGCAACUUGUGUCGUCGGUCGUAUUCCCUAGUCGGGAUAUGGCGGCCCGAGCCCCCGAGGCCUGUUGGGCUCGAUCGGCGUCGGUCGAGUUUCAUGCAUCACUUCAUCUGCAGUCUCUGUGAUCGAAGGGGUUGAGCUAACAUCGCUUGCCUCGAUGGCCUGAGUGAUGUGCUCGGUGAGCUCGCCAACGGGCAUGUCCGAGUGCAAUCCGGGUUUGUCAUUCGUAGCGGGGUCGGCCUCGUGUGGCAUUCCAUUGCUCCUUAACCCGCCUCCUGGCAGAUGCCCGAGCCGUUCCGGAGACUGACUCAGGUGGCCUGCUGGUCUCCCCUCGAUGGAGAUUCAGUGGGCAUGGCUCGAGGUCAGGAUCAAAUGAGAAGGUUAAGAUGAUCCUGUCUGCUUGUGAGCGAGUCAGGAGAAGGCCAUUUGGGCUUCAUCUGCAUUUUCCUCCUGACUCUAUUUGAUGUGAGGCGGCCUCAAGCCCUUCGCGAGCCAGCCUUUGAACCCUGGUCGGUCGCAGCUCAUAUUGAAUGAACCGCUAUUGCUUUGUGACGCGACGCAAAGCAAUUGGAUUGCAAUGAUUACAUGUAUGAGAUGAAUGUAUGAUGCAUGAAUGAAUGCAUGCAUGCAUGAGAUGGAUGAAUGAAUGAGUGCUUGUUUAUAGAGCAAGUAAACGGGGGGUCGGUGAUGUUACCUUGGUUGAACUUUUAGGCGUCACCCUAUCCGCAGUUUCUGCAACCGAAGGGGCUAAGCUAGCAUUGCUUAUCUCGACGGUUCAAGUGACAGGUUCAAGGCACCCUUAGUGGAUAGGCUCGAGUGGAAUCCAUAUCUGUCGUUCGUGACGGGGUCGUCAUGUCCUACAUGUUGGAUUUCCACUUUUUUUACCUGUCUCUCGUUGGAUGCCUAAACCGUACGAUCGACCCGAGUGGCCCGCUAGCCUCGGUUCGAUGGAGGCUCUAACGGUGGGUCCCUUCACUCCGUCUAACCGACUCGACUGCCUACUGGCCUCGGUUCGAUGGAGGCUCUGAUGGUGGGUCCCUCCGCUCCUGUGCCUCAAAAGGCGAAGGGGCGCUUGCGUGCGGUCGUGCCUUGUUUUUCACGGUUUCGUUGCAGAAGUAGGUGGGCCCCUCUCGGGCCACGCCCUGUCGCGUAGGGUCGCGUUCCGUCAGUUGCCUCCUUUCUGUCAGGGCUCCGCGACCCCUUCCCUAUUAAAUAGGGGGAAAGGCGGAUGUUGCACGAUUUUGAACUAGAGGCCGACCAUCGUGAAGGAGAAUUUGCUCAAGGUUUGUGUGAGAAGGCUGUUGCUGCCGCCGAAUGCAGUUGCAGGUUGGAGAGCACUAGAGGUUGGGACCGUCGUCCCGCGACCUGAGCUCGACGAAGUCAUCUCCUUCCUUGCUUUCCAUGAGCGCAGGCUUGGAUACCCCGCGCAUUGGUUCCUGCACGGGCUCCUUCACCGCUGGGGUUUGGAGUUGCAGCACCUCAACCCCAACGGGAUGCUGCAUAUUGCCGGCUUCGUCACCGUCUGCUAGGCCUUCCUCGGGAUGGAGUCGCACGUGGACCUCUUCGUGAAGUUCUUCUCUGGGCGAGUCUGUUCCGAGGAAAGGGGGAAGGCGAGCCUGCCAGCCCCGAUCGGAGGGUUCGCGCUACAGAGGAAGCCCAAGGUCGCCUAUCCACCGUACACCCCCAAUGAUUCUAAUUGGGGAUGGCACAACAAGUGGUUCUACAUCCGAAACCCGACGGAGGCGCCGUUCCCGAAGUUCACCGGAGGGAGGCCGACGAGACAGGAGAGCUGGGUGUGGGGACCCACUUCGAAGCAGAAGAAACACAUGGAGGUCCUUGAGCUAGUGCUGCGGCAACGUGUGGAGGAGGGCCUCAAUGGGUUACGGAACUUCGACACCUUCAUCCAUUGGUGGAUUGCUACGCUUGGGCAGAGGACAUGGCCAAUGUAGAAGUAUUCUGAUCCGUCGGAUCCCGAUCACGUGUCGUCAGUGGAGUUGCCGAAGAACGAGAUCGAGGCGCACCUCGAUCAAGUUGUUUAGUUGGGAGGUGACGUGACCCUCAGUGGGACGCCGGAGCCCUUCCAAACUUGAAGGCGUCCCGACUUGGUAUGUCUCUUUCCUCACGUCAUGCUUCUUCCUCAUCCAGACCUUCCGACCGAUUUUGAGCCAUUCACCUCGCAGGGGCUUGAGCGCUACAAGUCCCGACCGAUCCUCCUGAAGGGGUCGGAGGGCGCGGCCUAUCAGGCUACCCAGAAGACAGCAGCGGACGAGAGGAAGAAGAAGAAGGUUGUGAAGGCCCAGAGGCGGGAGGCGAGGCAGCAAGAAAUCAGCUAGCGGAUUCAUGGUGGCGGUUUCCUGUCAGCUGUAGGGGUGGAGCUUGAGUCUUCCGACCCCUCAGGGUCGGGAGGUGAUUCAAACUCUUCAGGGCUUGAGAUGAGCGGGGGUGCCAUCGUGUUCUCGACUGGGCACCGUGAGCUCGCUGCCGCGCCUUCUGGCGGAGCGUGUGGUAUGGGGGGACCUUCCGAUGCCCCCGAGUGAAGGAAGCGCGCCGUAGGCGGGGAUGUUGCCCACGAGCGGGAGGCGAAGCGGGUGCGGUCGCCGCCACACCAUUUGGUGAUGCCGCUGUAACAACUCUACCUUAAUUAGGUGUAGUUAAACUUAAGAAAGUCAUUAGACACUAGGUAGAGGUAGUGAAAGGUCCAAAAAUCCCCUAAAAAGCUCAUUUUGGAGUUAACUAGGAAACUUAAGAUUUUAUAUACAAACUGGAAUUUUUGCCCAAAUAGGAGUUCUAAAUCUUUUAAUUUUGAACAACUUUUGUUAAUAACACUUUGGCUAAUUUGGAGUGGGAGAAGGUCAAAAACAAGAAUCAAUUUAGGAGUACAUCAAAAUUCUGAAAAUAACCUAAGUGCUAGAAUUCAUAUUUUUCCUGAAAUUUGCAACAUGUUAUCUCACAAUUCUAUAUCUAAACCCGAGUCAGACCCCAAAUAGAAGUUGUAGUGCUGGAAGUGUGUUACAACUUUGAUUAAAAGAGUUAGGCCAAAAUAUGCACAAAAUGUUAUCAAAAAUGCAAUCAAACAUAGCCAAAUCAGUCAAACCAGCACAAAUGCAUUUCUGCGCUAAGUCUGGAAGAACACCCAGAGCGUGCACGUUGGCAAGCCCGUUCCCCCUAAAAGUUGAACUGAACCUGAGAAAGGUCCUUACUAGGAGAUGGAGUCCUAAGAUCAAAGAACAAUUCCUUCAAUUACAUCUUGGCAUGAUUCAAAUUGGAAGCCACUGAAAAACUUAGCCAAAGUUGGCCAAAAUGCUGAAACACAGUGAUGCCAAAAGUCCCAGGAGGCCGGCCGCCGCAAGGACCUCUCUGCGUCUCCCAUCUUUUUCCUGGGGACUUAGCGUAAGAACUAGGGACCCCUACACGAUUAAACCUUAGACGCGAGGGUUAGCUCGUAAGUUUGCCUGGAUUUAUUGUUUAAAUUGGUAGAAAUUAGAUUAAACUUUGUAAAUGCACCAUAAAUCGUAGAAUAAUCAGAAAAAAGCCAAAUAAAUUUUGUUGGACUCAGUGAACUGUCUAGUUUCUUAUAAAAAUAAUUUGCCCUUGUUACUGUUGAAAAUAAUACCCUAUAGUUUUAUUUCUUACCUAGGCCUUUGAAAUCAUAGUAAAUCGAAUAAAAAUGCUAAAAAGAUAAAUCCAACUCUGUGGUGUAUGUUUCUGAGUAUGGUAGCUUUGAAAAAUAGUUAAGACCCUGGAGUUGAACUUUAAAUCAAUGUUUUAGGUUUAUAUUUGAAAUCUAAGGCUAAAUCUUUCGGGUUGCAUAAGUAAUGGAAGCUAUCAGAGAAAAAUGUGAAACUUUUUGGAAUAGGUCAGUUGUGAAGUGUAGUUUGUAGAUAAAAUAUAGAACCUGGUCAAAAACAGAAAGAAACUCACUUUUCUUUUUAGAGAAAGAGAAAUAGGCUUAAUAUAUGGGAAAUAGUUGUCCUUCACUAAAACUCAUGAAAAAUUCACCUAAGUCUCUACAAUGCACCUUAAAUCCACUGAUUAAGUUUCACCCUCAGAAUCACUAUAGGUUUUGAGAUAAAAAUGGUUAAGUACACGCUACCUUUGGUUAAUAAAAUAAUUUUAUUUCUUUUUUACUAGUCCAAUGGAUCCUAAAUUUUUACAGUAACUCAUUGAUGACAUAAGUAAGGUGCUGUAAAUUUAUCAGUGUCAUAUGUUACUGUCUGGUUGUGGAAACGAAUUUUGGAAGAUGAACCGCUUUAAAGAAAUAAAGAAAUAUAAAUCCUAGUAAACUUAACUGGUAAUUUUUGGACGAGGUACAAAAAACAUUCAGAAAUAAAUGACUUUCGAAAGAACCCCAAAUGAUCCUAAAAGCGACCCGCACCUUCCUUGUGAAGUCUAAGUUGUGAAAUCUUAUAUAUGUACACAAUCACCAUCAAAGUCAACCCCGAGUUUUAAACCACAACACAUCUCAGCAAAUGCGGUCGAAAUGCACUUUUAUCUUAGCAAUAAGUCAUAUCUUACAUCCUUCAUACAAAAGCAUGGAAAUUUUAAACUUUCUGCAUAUGCAUGUCGUGUAGAAGCUAAUAUCGCCGACGGAACCUACAAGCUCCACCCUACGCCGAAAGAGGAACCCGCCGCAGAACUACAUCACGCGGAAGUUGAGCCUGAGCUAGAUCAAGACCCCGAAGACCCGCUAACUUUUUCUGAACCUGAAGUCAAGCCCCGGUGCAUGCUUCCCUGUUUUAAAUUUAUGCAAUAUGUUGAUACUUAUGAUUGUGCAUUUAUGUUUGUAGGAGUUGAUUGAAACCGUAGAUGCAUGAACUUAGUACCUUUGAUCCGAACACUAGCUGCUAAGGUCGAGUAGUUGCUGUGCUAAAUAGGACUCGGUAAAAGUCGAGUGAUUGCGUGUCACUCGCGAGUUAUAGGAGUUGUUUGUUUACUCAUACUACAACUACAAGGAUGACGGACGGGACCGGGAAUGGUUCCAAUGUGGUGGUUUGCCCCGUCUGUGUAGUAAUGAAGUUGCUAAGGUCAAAACGUGUCGGCGUUCGUGAUUAAGUGUUUGAAAGUACUAAUCUCAUACCUAGUAUGGGAUGGGGAAGCCUAGUACCUAAUUGAACUGGGGCGUGGCUUAUACUCCUGCUGUCCCUGGAACGAGGUUCCCAUGGUGCAUCAUGUGGGUGCAAGUGCGGUCACAAUACGGUAGAAGCUGGGACUGUGGAGCAUUGCAUGCCAAGGGAAGUUUGGCCCUGACACGUGCCUAGGGAUCGAUGGGGAUGGCUGACAAGUGAAGCGACCCUUCGUGGGAUUAGGUUCGCCAUGCAUGGUUAAUAAAUUCGAAUCGAUUCGUCUGCCUCUCACAGUUUAGAACUGCUUGAUCGCUAUUCCGCACUGAGUAAAGAUGGAACAUGAUGAUGAUAUUAAUCUUGAUACUUAUCCUUUAAUUGUUUGGAAACAAUGCUUGCUUAGUAUCAGCCUAAUCUAGACUGGUUAAUGACCUUAGAACUUGGGCUAAAAUAUUGAAAGGAAGGACCAACUUUAGAUGCUUUUGGCAAAAACAAACCCACGGCCAAAAAGCCUUGCACGUCUAGGAGUCGGUGAAGUAGUUAUCACCUGUCGGGUCAGUCUUGCUGAGUAUUAGUUGCUCAGCCUUGCAUGUGGCUAUGUUUUCAGGUAGUGCUGAGUUCGAGGAAAUGGUUGCCAGUUUGACUUGGCCGACCCAACUCCCUCCGAGUUGGUCGGUUGAGUGGAAACCAACCUCACACGGCAUGGAUCGUUGAAAUGGAUAUCAUGGUCGGCUUUGCCAUGGUAUUAUGUAUUGUCGUGUAGCUUCCACUUGUUUUACUUCUUUGUUGUUUACAACCUUGCAAACUUUGCUUGAAUUUUUGUAAACUCUGAUGUAAUAAAUUGUUGAACUAUGUUAAUAUGAUGGGAAUGUUGUAAUCUCUGUGGCAUUCACCUUCGUGUGAGUAAUGCUUCUCAAUCAUGAGUAAGUGGUUUAUCGGAUGAAAUCCGACGGACGACAAAGUUGACUUGCUUAAAGUGCAUGAUCGUGUGUCACGCAAUGUAAGUGCAUUUUAGUCAGGUUAAUUUGGGGCGGUUCCGCCACAGCCACCGGCGUCGUAGCCCCCGAUAGCGAGCACGAUGGUGCGCGACGGUCGGCUAGAGGGACGCGGUCAUACGCCUGCGGCCCAACAGUCGGUGGACACACCUGGUCCUCGGCAAAGGGAUGCUCCACCGGUUGCUCCGGCGGAUCUGCCACGGGUCGGUGGCCACAGCCGUCCACUGACCGACCGUGGUUCGGUCGGGUGCCUCUACCCUCGAUCGUCUUGGAGCAGUUCGGGCGGCAGCCCUCGAGUGAUUCUUGUUCAAUGGACUUCCUGGUUCCUCCGGUCAUGUACGUGAUUUUAGCCUUUCUCGCCCGUGUGAACGCGUUUUUCGGCAUGAAUAAUCCGUUCCCGUUUCUUCUUUUUUGCAGCAAUCCGUCGUCAGCUCCUCUGGUCAUCGCGCCACCUCCCAAACACAUGGAGUGGAUGCCCAACCUGCAUCGGGUCGUGCAAGCGAUGGGAGGAGUAGACUGGAGUCGGCCCAUCCCAUGUUGAUGGGGCUCAUUCCUGCCCCGUUGGUUGCGACUGCGCUGGUGGUUGCAACGACGGUGACCCCUGCGGUGAUGGCGAAUCCUGCGAUGGCGGUAACCGUGGCACUCCCUCCACUAUCGGUCGCGGAGGAGGUGAAGCAGGAACCCGUGCUCUCCGUUUCACCCGGAGGAGGGGCGCACACCCUCAGCUCGCCCUCCUAGUUGGAUUUGGAGGGGAGCGGAGAACCCAGGGUCGAGGCCGCCGAUGAAGCAGCGGAGGUUCACAUGUCCCCCGAGCUGGCCUAGGCCCAUGCUUGGGUGAGUACCCUCCCGAGCCCACCUGGCGUGUUGGAGGCGACUGGAAUGGAGGAAGAGCCGUUGUUGGCAGGCCGCGACAUCUCGGUGGUGGUCCUUCCUUCUGAUGGAGGGGAGGUCACCAGGGUGGCGAAUUCGAGCGUCCCGCUGUCUCAAGAGCGAUGAUGAUCCUGGCAUCACUAGGCACCAUGGCGGUCAGGUUUUCAAGCGGGUCGGAGGCGGCUGACGACCUGGUGUGGCCUCAGCUGGGCGAGCCGGGGAAGGCCCGUUUCAUGCUCCACGAUGGGAGGGAGCGGGUACUCUGGGACCUUCUUGCGAGCGGCGGGCUAUCGGUGCGGUCAGGCCUCACCUCCGUCGUGGCGAAGUUGAAGGAGGCCUUGGAGGAACCUGACCUUACCAAUCGGGCCAUGUCCAUCGACCUGUCGCAUAUCGGAGAGGUAAGCCUUCUGCAAUCCUAACUUCGUCCCUGAUCUUUUGUUAUUCAGCCUGUUGCCUUAGUGCGCCUACCCUUAUCUUGCAGAGCCUGGAGAUGAUAUUGGCCAGUAAGUCCUAGUUCUUCCGGGAGGAGCAUGGUCAUUAGGAAUGGGACGCAGCGGCAUUGCGGCAGGUCGGUGAUCUUGCUCGCGAGCUGGAGACUGCCCAUCGCGAGUCCGAGGACCAAGUGGCACGUGCGGCCGCUGUGGAGGAGCAUGAGAUUGCUACCGAGCGGGAGCUUGCCGCGACGGAGUCUCGCCUGGCAGAGGCCGUGGUAGAGGCUCGAGAGCGCCAGGAGGUGGAGCGUCGGGCGGCCGAGUGGGCGACUGCCACUGAGCAGGCACUCGCCAUGGCGUAGGAGGCCCUGGGGGCAGAGCGAGCAGCUUGAGCGCAUGCCGAGCAGGAGGCUGCUCAGCUACAAGGGAGGGUGACCCAGCUGGAAGAGGGGCAUACCCUCCUUGAGAGCGCGAGUCAAGAUCUGGGUGAGAGGAAUGCCCUUUUGCGUCAAAAGCUGUAGUGGUCGCAGGAGGGGCGCGUCACGGUCGUCGCUGCGAUGGAGAGUAAGUCCCACCAUCUCGAGAGUUUGAGCCGGGGUCAUACCCAUUUUUUUCCUUCCGCUGACUUGGUCUCUUGUGUAGUCUUGGAGAGGGAGUUGAGGACGACCUAGGCGACAGUCAAUUGGAACACGGAGGCGUUGGCUCGGUCUCUGGAAGAACGGUCCUCCCUCACGGAUGAGCUCAACCAACUCCGCGACAUAGCGCAGGUGGUGGUCACUGAGGUGCUCGGGUCAGGCCCGAGUACCAGUAGGCCCGCCGUCCAACUUGCGGAGGUCUCGGACAUGGUCCAAACGCUUAUCUCUGACGGUGUGUUCCACGGGGCGUUGAGGGUGCUUAUGUCGGUGGUGACCCACUACCUCGACCUGGACUUCAAGGCAAUCUGCAGAGGGUAAGCUGGCAGAAGGAGCUUCGAGGAGAUCUGGGCACUAGGUCGGAGCUUGGCCCCGGGCGCGCGAACGAUCUCCGCGCACGUGACCGCGACGUGGGUCAUGGAGGCUCACCGCUCGUGGAUGUGACGGCCUCGGACAAAAAUCUCUCCAGUUAAUCUUAAUCCGCGUCCUUGAUCCCUAUCUCACCCUUUCCGAGUUUAAGUACUCAACCUCCAAUCCGGUCCCGACCCCUGAGACCCGACCCCUCUCCGCUGGCCUCCAGUUCCGACCCCGCCGACCCCAACUCACCCGCCGGAUUCUCCUAAGUCUUUCCCCAACACCUCCCUUCAAUCUGACCGAUGGACCCACGAGAUCUUUUCCCCCAGAUCUUUCGCGACAGGCGCACUCGAGUUGCAUGCCCGCUUCAGAGUUCCCCCGCCGCGUGGCUCAACUCCUCUGACGCCUGCCGCUCCGCCUCGUCUUCGGCCCGUGACCGAAUGGAUUCUCGCGCCCUCCUCCCCAAUCGCAGCGGAAGCCCCUCUGCAACCUUUCCGCAGCACCUCACCGCCCGCGCCCAUCAUCACAUCGCCAGAUCCCGGCCACAGAGCCCAAUGUCGCCCGUCUUUUCCGUCACCUCGCCACAGUCGCGCCGCCCGGUCUUCGCUACACGACGAUUCCUCCUCCGCCAACCCCGACCAUGGCAGCGAGAGCUACCUUUCCCGCUCUGUCAGAAGUCGCCUGACAAUCUGUUGCUCCGCGCUCGCCCGCGCGCCCGCAGCCGCCUGUCUUCUCACCUGUGCGCCCUCGACCCUAGCGCCGUUUUCCCGGUCACUUCCAUCAGCUCCACCGCACGACGACGCCCGCCUCCACCAAAUCUCAACCACCGGCAAACCCGCGCCUGCGCCGCCAUGACGCCAGUGCCCAAUGACCCUUCGGCGUCAUCCCCAAAGUCCUGCUCCACCGCCCUCGUCGCUCAAUCGCCGCCCGGGCAGAGCACUCCAUUGCUUCUUCCCCGGCCUUCGCGCCGCUCCCCCUUCUCACUCCCGCGCCGCUAUAAAAUGGAAUGCGCGAGCCCCGCUGGAGUUUCCCUUGCCCUAGCUGCCAUCUCUCUUGCUCUCUGUUCGAGCUCACAGCGUCACCACACUAAGUCCCUAAGGAACUCUCCUCUUCGCUCCACACCACUUUCCCCAAUCCACCCAGCCGCUUGCUCCUCCGUGCUGCGUAAGAGCUUACUUGUGAUCCACAAGAAGCGCCGCCGCCGUCGGAGCGCCGUCGGACAUCUCUGCUGCAAGUCUUAGUGUUCCAAUUCCUCCGCUCGAACCUGCUCCUUUCCGACCCCAAGCUUUCCUUGUAAGACAAAGGUAAGCUGCCAACCCCUUGUCCUCCUCGUCCGACCCUUCUGUUCAUCCGAACCCUUUUCCAUCUCGCCCGACCCCAUCUGUUCUGCCGACCCUUGUCCGCUUCACCUGACCCCUCUUAUCCGCCCGACCCCGGUUCCGUCUCGCCCGACCCUGUCCGUUCUGCCGACCCUUCUCCGCCUCGCCCGAGGACUCGGCUAUAUCUUUUUCUUCGAACCGAGGGUGUAUGUGUAAAACUUGGGGACUUUUCAGCGUUGAGUCUGCGGACCCCUAGCACAUCAAACCCUCUAGAUUAAGGGUCAGAUCCUAAGUUCCUUCCUCCGACCCUUACCUCUUGAUCUUCACCAAUUCCUUUGAACCUCCCCACCCUCCUGUAACUUGUCGCAAGUUUCUGGGCUCAGACUUGCAAGUGUUGCUGUUGAAUUAACCGUCUAAAUGCUAACUCUUGCAUUGCAUUUUGUGUAGAGCUGCGUCUCGCCGACGGCUGCUACGAGCUGCACCCGGCGCCAGAAGACGACGGUGUAGCCGAGCUCCUGCCCCCAGAAGCCGAAGCUGCCCCAGAAGUCGACCAGUUCUCUUCCUCUUUGCUCGAAGGCAAGCCCCGGAUGCAUGAAAACCCUAUGUUUUCCAAACUUGUGCAUGCCUUCUUUAACAUGCUUGUGCAUUUACGUAUAGGAGUUGUUUGGAACCAUAGAUGCAUGACUUAGUUUUCCCAUGAUCUGAACACUAGCUGUUGGACCGAGUAGCUGCUUUGCUUAAAUAGGAAGCGGUAAAAGUUGAGUGAUUUCCUAUCACUCGCGAGUUGUAGGAGUUGGUUGUCUUCCUCCUGUCACAACUGUAAGGACGAUGGACGGGGCAGGGUUUUGGGUAACUCUUUGGUGGUCGGUUGAUCGCCCCGUCUGUCUAUGAAACUUGCUAAGGCCCGACAGUGGUGGUGUUCGUGAUCAAGUGUUUGAAAGUACUAACCUCAUACUUACUAUGGGAUGAGGAAGCCUAGUACCGGAUUGAACCUAGACGUGAGCGGUCGCCCCAUUGUUCUUGGAACGGAGUUUCCCCUGCUAGCUGUCGCACGUGGUGGCAAGCGUGGUCACAGAACGGCAGAGGCCAGGUCUGUGGAACCUUGCACCAAAGGAAAUAGGCCCGACACGGGUUAGGGGAUUGAUGGGGAAGGCCGACACAGGAAGCGACCUCCGUGGUGCGCGGAUGUCGUGAGGUUAGGUUCACCAUGCAUGGUUAAAGAACUCGAAUCGAUUCGUCUGCCUCUCACAGUUUGAGACUGCUUGAUCGCUAUGCUACCCUGAGUAAGAAAGAAAUAUGAUGAUGACAUGGUCUUGAUGAUGAUAUAUAUAUACCUUUUGGUUGGUUCUAUGUUUGCUUAGAGUAAGUUGCUAACUUAGACCGGAUAAUGAAUUUAGAACCUGAGCUAAAACUUGAAAAUAGGGAUCUACAUAGUGCUUUUGGCAAACAAACCCCUCAGCCAAAGAGCCUUGCAUGUCUAGAAGUGGUGGAGUAGCUUUACUCCGGUCGGUUAAGUCUUGUUGAGCUUAGUAGCUCAGCCUUGUUGUGGCUUUUCUUUCAGGUGAAGUUGCUGCUCCCGAGCCUUCUUCCGUGGGCACUUGGCCGCUCCAGCUCCCUCCGGGUUGGACGGUCGAGUGGGAUCCCUCCUCGGACGGCGAGGAAAGGGAUCACUGACGUCUUGGAUGGCCUCACCAAGGACGUCCGACCCCUGCGUUUAGCUUCCGCUUGCUGUUUUACCCUCUGUUAUUUUCUUUUGAACCUUGUAAAACUUUGAUGUAUGUUUUAUAACCAAACUAGAUGGUUAAAGUGCUUAACUCGGUGGACUUGCUGUAUUCUCUGGAACCACUCACCUUCGUGUGAGUUUGCUAACUCGGUCCUGUUCGAGUGGUUAAAUCGGAUGAAAUCCGAUGGCACUUCAUGUUAACUUGGCUUAGGCAUGGGUGUCGCAUGAUUAGGUGACUUAACCCUGUUUAACCAAGCUAAUCCGAAGUGGAUCCGCCACAGUGGAUAGCCGCACGUGCGAGUCGGGAGGGUGCCACCAAUCCUGAUAUAGUGGUGCAGGCCGGGGUGGAGCCGGGCAUUGUCCCGAUAGAGAGCAACCCGAGCGUCGACCCGACUGCGACUGGAGAGCCCUCAUCCUUGUCAACUGCGCCGCCAACUGACCCGGCCGAGGGGGAGCAGUAGAAAAGGGGUAGUUAGUUUCUUUGUGUGUGAAAGAAAUUUGCGGGGAAUGUGAACCCCCGAGUGAACAAUUUUAAAUUCGUUUGUGAUUGUGAUGGGGAGCUUGUCCCACCCAUCCUCGUUUUUGUUGUUAAGCAAUUUCUGCUUUUCGCCCUUUUCCUUUCAGACCAGCCCGUUGACCGUAGGCUACAACCUUAAGGACCCGGGCAUGGCCCGCGAGGCUCAGCUGCUCAUAACCGUUGUCAUGGCAGGGUCCGAUCGGUCCGCAUGCUAGAGCAUAAGUUGCUUUUCGGGUGAAUUAGAGGACGGGAUGCCCUUUCAUUCGGGCGCGCCCUUUCAUUCGGGUGAGGUGCAUGGUUACGCAAAAAGUAAAGAGGGGGUGGUGCCGCACCCUCGUGGAGCCCUCGAGCAACCCAGGCCUAGAGUGCUCGGGCCAGGGUGCUGUAGGAGCAAGUGUUACCGUCAUCAUCCUUCAGUCGAAAAGCGCCCGGUCGGAUCACCUUGGCUGUAGGAGAAAGCUUGUGCUUGUCCUUGGUUGUUUGGAUCCUCCGGAGCACGAGGUCGACGACCUCGAGGGUUCUUCCCUGAAUCUUCCUCUCGAGUAGGUCGACCGCGUCCUGUUGAGCCUCCGCAGCUUGAUCGGGGUCGAGCGCCUUUACCCUUGGAGCACCGUAGUCGAGGUCGGAUGGCAAUACUGCCUCAGCGCCGUACACCACAAAGAAGGGAGUGAACCCUGUCGACUGGUUCGGGGUUGUCCUUAGGCUCCAAAGGACGGCUGGGAGCUCUGCGACCCUUCGUUCGACGUUUAUUCACCUUUCAAGCCUGCCCCUCAGAAUUCGUCCGACGCUACUAGAAAAGAGGCUAGCGGAACAUCCGAUGGUCUGUCUUUGAUUCAAUUUCUUUGCAGCGUACCAAUUGCUCCGAUGUUUGCUCCGACGCUAUUCUAGGGGCCAUCGGAACAUCCGAUGGUGCUGUUUUUCUAGAUUUCUUCGGUUCUUUGCUUAUCUUUGGUUGUGGUUGCUUUCUUAGGACCUAGAAUAUGUUCAAGGCAUGUUCUAAACACUUUGUUAGUCCUAAUGAUCAUGUUGUCAUUGAAUCACCAAAAUCAUGAACAAAUGGCUUAUCAAGGCCAUGUUCUGUACAAUUUUCCCCUUUUUUGUGAUUGAUGACAACAUAAUCAAAGCAAGCAUAAAAUUGUUUUUGACUUGAUCAAUUGAACCACUUACACUUGCUUGGAUGCUUACCAUCAUCCAACCUUUCCCUUUGCGUACUUCUCCUUUUUUCUUGUAUUUCUCCCCCUAUGUAUGUUCACACAUAGGUUCUUGCAUUAGCUCUUACUUUGAUUCCACAUUUCUCCCCCUUGGAAUCAAAUCGCCAAAAAGGCAAUCUCUUCCAUUUGUAAGCCUACAAGACCUUGCAAACAUAGCUCAAAAGAAAACAAUAGUAGCCUAGGAAGAUAUCUUCAUGAACCAUGAUCCAUAUGAGAUGAUACCAAUGAAGAUACCACUUGCAAGACUAUUAGGAUGGAUCAAGAAUUCGUGAAACUAGCAUGAUACAAGCUAAGCUCCCCCGAUGUGCGUGCACAACAAGAUAGUGUGAAAAACAAGUGCACAACUAGAUAUGAGAGCAAAUGAAGCUUAUAGCAUACCACUUGGUAGAAUAAACAAUGCAUACCUCCGAGGGAAUUCUUACCUUGAUGGCACCACUUGAAAGAGGAUAUCAAGGGAAACACAUGAGGUACCACAAGGAUAUGGAAUGUAUGAGUGCAUUGCCUUUGAACUUAUAUAUGAAAUGUAAGCUCGCAAGGUCAUGACUCGGUAAGCAUGAAUGCUAAUAUUGCUAUAGUCACUCUUAUAGAGUUGUUAGUUCACAUUGAGAGUGAAAUAGCAUUAUCUUAGAGUGAUGCACCGGAUCGAGAAUGCGCCAUUAAGAGACUACACAAGAUAAGCUUGAAAACAAGUUAGUCUCAAAAUCACAAGCCAUAGGAUAAGCUCCCCCUAAAUAUGUGCAUUUAGUGUUUGAAUCACCAACCAAGAGUAUGCACAUUGUUUUUGACAACAAGGGAAGCUAACCCUAUAGAAUGUGCUCAUGAUAUAAAAGAUACUAAACGAAAGAGCAUGUAUCAUGAAAGAGCCAUAUAUAUCAAACCAUGUAGUUUGCUUAUGGGUUAGAGAGAUACACAAGCAACCUGCCAUAUGAAAACAACUAGGCAUUGCGACAUAUAUCAUAUGAAAACACAAUACAAUCCUAGACAUAGCAAUGGAGCUACAAUGAUGCUUGAGUUGGGUUCUAACUACCAUUACCUUUGGAUGGGGGAUUUAGGCAUAUAUGUCAAUUGUUGUGAUGUUGGCUCCUUAGACUUGAACCUUCAUCUUCUUGUGAGCCAAGCCUCCAAAUUCCACGUGGCUGAUUAUAGCCUUCACGUGUCUUUUGGAACCCAACCCAUUUGAGGCCCUUUCAUGUUGGUGAUCACUUCCUUGGCAUCCAAAUGGGUCGGUUCCAACCCCACUCGUUCUUCAUCUUCCCAACCUUAUGUGCAAUCACCUUACCAUUGGUCUUCUUCUUAAUGACGUAUGUGUUGCUCUUGGCCUUGUUCUUGCGAUUGGGCUUGGUGUAUAUGAGGGGGCUCUUGAUGGUGAAAUUCAUCUUCUUCACUUGAGGGCAUUUGUAGGACUUGUGGCCUUCUUUAUGAAACUUGAAGCAAGUCACGGUAGCUCCCUUCUCAAACUUCUUCACCAUGUGGUCACGGUUAUCUUGAGAAGGUUGGAUGUUGCUCUUCUUAUCUUGAGAAUCUUGUACAUUGUCUACGUUGUCCUUGCCCUUCAAAUGGGCUAAUUUGCUCAUGAACCAUUGCACUUCUUGCUUGAGCUCAUUAUUCUCCUUGUCAAUGAGAUUAUCACAUGAUUCUACAACAAUAUUCUCAAGACAUUUCUCAUUGCAAAAUGGUGAGUAAGAUUCAUUAAUUAUAUCAAUGCAAGAAAUUGAAACAUCUACCUUAGAUAUAGGAAUUGCACAAAGGAUAGAUGAUUCAUCUAGCUCCAAGGAAUCCUUAGUUUCAUUUUCAAUGCUCUCAAUUUUAGAUUUGAGCUCUUCAUGCUCCUUGCUAAGCAAAUUGAAUUUGCACAAUAGAUUUUCAUAAUUUGUAGCAAAGGUAGCAUUAAGAUCAUUGAGAGUAUUGAGUUAUUUUAUUUGCUUAGAUUGUUUCUUAAUGAUUCCUUUUUGCUCAUGGAUUAACUCAAGAAGAUCAUCAAUAGAAGGAGAAUCGGAUUCAUCGUCACUUACAUCACUUUCCAUAUCUCGGGACAUAAGGCAAAAUUGUAAUGACGAUGAUGAGGGACCUUGCAUGAAGAGAGUGGUGAAGUUCUUACUUGAUUCAUCACUUGAGCUACAAGAACUUGAUUCUCCAUCACUUAUCCAUUCACGGAUGACGGUGAGUGUUUCUUGCUUGGGCUUCCUCUCCUUCUCCUUCUUCUUCUUCUUGUGCUUGAUCUUCAUGAUCUUCACUUGUUGAUGAUGACGUCCUUCUCUCAAGUAGACAUUGUAGCCAUACAUGUUGCAUUACUAGUUGCAUCAAAAUAUAAACUAGAUCAUGCUAUCUAGAUGUGCAAUAUAUGGUUGAUCUAGUGUGAAACUCUCAUCCCAAAAUAAAUUUGUAACCUACAGCCAAUCCUAUCAAGAUACUACUCUAGGAAAGUAAAGUCACCAAGUUAUAAAAACAAAUGCGGAAACGUAAGGAGGGGGUGAAGGGAAGCAAACUCUUGACACAAGGAUUUAUCCCGUGGUAUCGAUAGGCACUAAGCCACCACUAGUCCACGCUGUUGAAGCACUCAUACAAGAGUAUUGUUUCCCGAUCAUCAAGUCUCUCCCAAGGUGCCCCUUGACUUGCCACAAAGGCUCGGCCACUAAGGCUCACUCCAAGUCCCUCGGUCACCUUGAUGCCGUCUUCACUAAGGAGCUUCUCCAUGAAGGAAGGAGGUCUCCACGUCCCCCGCACAAGGUCAUUGACGCCGCUCCACACCAAGCCGGAGGGUCAAAGACUUGCCAGUGAGCCACCAAGGCUCCAAGGCACUGGCACACCUCUUGUACAGCGGUGGUUCACUCUAGAACCUGAUCACAAGGUUGGCACACCUUGCACUCACUUCUCUCUAGGCCUAUCCUAGCACUAAUCACUCUCCUAAGCUUGUGCUAAGCCUUUGAUAAAUCACUUAAGCACUUUUGGUGGCUGGGAUAUGUUCUUGAUGAGUUUUGGUCUUCAAUGCAUCCCUAGACACUCCAGCAACUCCAAAUAGGCGAGUAGUGGGGUUAUAAAUAGCCCCAAGGGCUCAAAAAGCCGUUGCUCCAAUGGCUAGUGAAAAAGUAUACCAUCAGAUGUUCUGAUGGUCUAUUUUUGACUUGCAUCGAAAUAUCCAGUGCAACUAGCCGUUGGACUCCCCGCGUCCAAGUUUUUCACUAACUCAUCCAAAAUUCAUCCGACGCUUCAUCCAAUGGUACUAUCGUAUCAUCCGGUGUUGAAGGGUUUUUGUCCAAAACCUUCUGUAAAGAAUCAAAGAAAAUAUGUUUUGUCCGACGCUCUUCUUUGACCUACCAUCGGAUCAUGCGGUGCUAUAGAGAUUUCUUCGUCUUUCAAGCUUGCCUCUCAGACUUCGUCCGACGCUACUAGAAAAGAGGUCAUCGGAACAUCCGAUGGUCUAUCUUUGACUCAAUUUCUUUGAAGCGUACCAAUUGCUCCGAUGCUUGCUCCGACGCUAUUCUAGGGGUUGUCGGAACAUCCGAUGGUGCUAUUUUCAUGGAUUUCUUUGGUUCUUUUCUUGUCUUCGGUUGUGGUUGAUUCCUUAGGAUCUAGAAUAUCUUCAAGGCAUGUUCUAAACACUUUGUUAGUUCUAAUGAUCAUGUUUUCAUUGAAUCACCAAAAUCAUGAACAAAUGGCUUAUCAAGGCCAUGUUCGCUACACCGGAUUUAAACCAUUAUUUACAAACCAUUCAAAGCAUACAUGGUAUUUUAAUAUGAUCUAAAACAUAACACAUCAUGAUAAAUCGUUAGAAUAGAUAUCAUGUUUAUGUCAUUCCAUAAAGCUUGGUCAUGGAUAAUUUUAAAGUUCACCUGCAAUAUCCAUAUAUAAUCAAGAUCAUUUUUCCACUAAUUUUAAAUCUACAUACGCUAGACCACUAGUAGAUGAAUGGUCGGAGCAUAUAUGCAGAGGGUCGUUCUUAGAUCUAGGUAAAAGUUUAGGGAAAAGUUAAAUCAUGCCCGAGCAUUUUGAACCGAAUUAUCCACGCUUGCAACGAUGGCGGCGGUGGUGGAAGACUGGGAGGUGGCGAUGGGAUGGGUAGGAAAGGUGGUCGGCACGGAGCUCCAGAGAGAUCCUCGCCCGCCCGCGGCAGGGUGGAGCCAUGUGGGGGCAAUAGUAGGGGCCAGGAAGCUCGGGGGAGAUGAAAGCGACAUCGGCAUCGAGAGGUAGGAGACGAAGUAGCAUCAGAAGGUAGGAGAUGAAGCAGAGGUGUCGGUUGCUGAUCCGACGGUCGAAAAAAUUUGAGUGUAUAGCACCUGUGUUUCACUUGGAUGUUGUCUAUACAUCCCCAAGGUUUUAUCAUGCUGUGCCAGUAUGGCCCAGCGUGUCUAGCGUGUCUAAAAGUUUGGACUCGAAUCCGCACGAGGCAUGAAAGAGUCAUGCUGCCGGUAGGACACAGUCCAAAUACCAUGUCUAAUCACGUGUAUAUAUUGAUCGUGUCAUUCUACUUUAUUUGGCAAGGAAUUAACUGAUUUGUUGGAUAUCGAUUGCUCGUAGUGUUUUACGAAGGCACAUGGUUCAAGAUGGCAAUGGGGACCCGCGACCCGAUACCCGAUGGGUAUUUUCUCCAUUAGGAUUUGAAUAUGGACUAAACACACUACCAUGGGUACAUAAAUGGACCAAACCCUUCACCCAUCGGGUACGUGGGUAUGGGUAUGUUCCAGUAGUCCCCAUACCCGUUAACUCGUGGCCUGGCUCAAAAGUAAAGAAGCCCACCAGGCACCAGCCCAUAAAGUGAAACCCUAAGUAUAUAAUCCUCUCCCCAACCCCUCCCAACCCCACAUUCCCACCCCUGUCCACUGUCGGCCGCCGCAAAAAGACAGCAGGCUACAAGAAGAGCCGAACAGGCCCCCGCCCCCUCGCUCCAUUCCAAAUCCAAGCGACUAAAAUCGCCGUAUUCGACGCCAUGUCGGCGACCGAGCAUGGCAGCGUCAACGGACGGUGACAAUCUUGCUUCCCUUUCAUAUGCUUUGCAGCUCCUUCACUCCACAGUCCGCACUAACUAGCUCCUUCACUCCGUCAAGGGGCAUCGUGGAGGAGGAGGAGGAUGCUGAUCGCCUACUAAAGUCGUCGGAUCCCGAGCUCGUCGACGCCGUGGACACUCUAAAGCUGCAAGAUCCAGAGGCCCAAGCUGAAGACGUCGUCGCCGGCGCUCCUGCAUUGGAUCCGAAGAAUAGCGUCGGUGCCGCCAGUGCUCCUGCAUCCAAGCCCAAUAAUAGGGUCGCUCCUACAUCCUUUGGCUAUGCAAUGUAAUGAUAGAAUAACUUGUGUGAUGGUGUUAUGUGAGUGGUGAUUGCAGUAGAGAUUAUUAUAUAUUAUUUGUUUAAUUUUAUGUGUUCUGGGACUGGUGGUUGCUGCUAAAGUGCUGAUUUUCAUGUCCUUAAAUAAACUAUUGGCGAGUACGGGUGACCCGCCGGGUAUGGGUCUGGGGAAAUUCCCCACCCACAGCCGGAUACGGGGAUUCUGGUAGUCUCAAAAUUUUAUAGCGGGGAUGGGUCUGGGGUGGCCAUACCCGAUGGGAAUUUACCCAUUGCCAUCUUUACACAUGGUAGAGCAAACACGCUAAAUGGAUGCAGCUUGAAAAAAAAUAGAGAACGAUUCAUUGUCUAUGCGUAUAGUUUUCCAAAUGGGCCGCUUGGCCCUAGCCCGGCACUAACCUAUCCUGGCCCGGCACUAAUAGGCCCAGCACUAUUAGGCCCGAAGGGUUUUCAUGCCGGGCUGGGAUGGCACUGCGUGCCGAGGAGGCGGCCCAGGCCCGGCCCGAUGACCUUUUUAUCGGGCCAGGCCAGCCCACAACACGACGGGCCAUGCCGUGCUAGUGCCCGGCCCGGCACUAGCAGCGGCGGCCGGCUCCAGUUGCCCCCGGAGGACGGCGACGGUCGGCCCCCGGCGGUGGCGGCGGCGGCUGGCCCCCCGCGUCGGCCCCUAGUGGCGGCGGCGCCGGCCCCCCCGCGUCGGCCCCGGGCGGCGGCGGCGGCCGUCCCCCCACGGCGGCUCCUGGCGGCGGCAGCCGGCCCCCCGCGUCGGCCUCGGGCGGCGGCGGCUGGCCCCCUGCGGUGGGCAUGGCGGCCAUCGUCCCAAGCAAGCAGGAAGGUGGGACUGUGGGAGGACCCUGGGAGGCGGACGGGUGGAUGGCCAAAUGGGGGAAAAUUGAAAGGAUAAGGUAGGGUUCUGCAUUUAUAUGGUAGUUAGAUCGGGCCACAUCGGGCCGACCCAAAAAUCGUGCCGGGCUCGUGCUAGCCCAGCGUGCCGGGGAGGCGGUCCAGGCCCGGCACAAUCAUCGUGUCGAGCCAGCCCUGGCACUAUUCACUUCGUGCCGGGCCCGUGCUCGUGCCGUGCUUUUUAGUGUCGGGCCUCGGGCCGCCCAACGAGCCUGGCCCAUUUGGAAAUCUUUGUCUAUGCGCAUGAGUCGUGGGUCAUUGAUUGCGUUUGCCCUAUCUAGCCUGAUGGGAUGCAAGUUCCUGAUGCUGUGUUGCACGUACUUCCUAACAAUGAAAAUAGUUUCAUCCUUUUAGUACGAUUAUAUGAGCAAAUACAUAAACGGAAAUGCGUAUUUGCUAUGGGAUCCUAGGCAAUAUUCAGUACGGGUUCCUAUAAUAACGUUCGAGGAGUUGAUAAGUUAAUUCAUGUGUAUACCUACUUGUUGCCUGCCUAAAUUAGAGGGUUCCAUUUCCUUGAUAGAGCCACUGCCUAUACGUCGUCGGCUCAUUCUUCAAUAAGCACGUGGUCAAAGACCACUUUACCCUCCCACUGCUUAGGAGCUCAGUACGGUUUCGUAUUCUAUUUCACUACCCACCACUAGGGGUUAUUUUCAUUUUUCCCUCGUGAUACUAAUGUGAUCCUUACUGAUACACACUGGAUUCCACGUACCCCAUGCAAUUUGGGGCCUUGUUUAGUUGUUAAAAUUUGGAGUCCCAAAAUUAUUGUGCCAACACUGUAGCACACUGUAGCGUUUCGUUUGUAUUUGUGAAUUAUUGUUCAAACACUGACUAAUUAGGCUCAAAAGAUUCGUCUCGCAAAGUACAACAAAACUGUGCAAUUAGUUUUUAAUUUCGUCUACAUUUAGUACUCCAUGCAUGUACCGCAAGUUUGAUGUGAUGGGGAAUCUUCUUUUUGCAUAGUGCUAAAGUUGGAAGUUGGGGAUGAACUAAACAAGGGCUGGGUUAGAGUGUAAGCUAGUGAUGCUUUCGACUAUUGGACUUUAGAACCUGUCACAUCGGAUGUUUGGAUACUAAUUAGGAGUAUUAAAUAUAGUCUAAUUAGGAGUAUUAAUAAGUUGAAUUAAGAUCUGUAAAAGUAUAUUUGCAGCAAUAUAUAUAUCAUGUGAUGAUUGUUAAUCUAUUUUUCAUCUCAUCGUACAUAGGUUCUCAUCCAAGCAAACAAACCAAAUACUCCCUCCGUUCCAAAUUGUAGAUCGUUUUAGCUUUUUUAGAUUCAUGUCUAGUGCAUAAUAAUAACUACAAUUUGAACCGAGGGAGUACUAUCUUAACUUAGCUACACAUACAUUUACUCAGCCUGGCUCACAAAUAAGAGAUCAGGACACUCAAUGCAACCAAUCAAGCCCAUGAACAUAUAGUCAAUGGAAUCUCUACUCCUAAAUUCGCACAUAGCCCCUGAUGACCGAGUGCCGGCUUGCACCACCGGCGUGCCACUUCCACAGGAAGAGAAGCGACUAGGAUUAAACUUGCUACAAAUUUUCAACAUCUACACAACUUGGAACUCAUUUUUUCAGUAGAAAUUUGAUGAAUUCCCACUUUAGAACUCUCAACCAAGAUUGCGUCAUUUGAAUAUAUGCCAUUCGAUUGAGACUAAAAGGUUCAGGGUAUCAACUCAAUUUCAGAAUCUCUCAGCUUUCAAUCAAGGUUCAGAAGAGUUCAGUCCAUAAUAAGAAAUUGAAAUUUCAAAGCUCUUGCUACAUAACACUCUAAAUUGGGGAGAGCAUUUCGCCCCACCUUGGCCUUGUUUAGUUCCCAAUUUGGGAGUGCCAAAGUUGUGAGUUUGUCAUAAAUGCGCAACUGUAGCAUUUCAUUUGUAUUUGUGAAUUAUUGUCCAAAAAUUGACUAAUUAGGCUCAAAAGAUUCGUCUCGCAAAGUACAACAAAACUGUGCCAUUAGUUUUUGAUUUCAUCUACAUUUAGUACUCCAUGCAUGUAUCGCAAGUUUGAUGUGAUGGGGAAUCUUCUUUUUGCAUAGUGUCAAAGUUGGGAUUUUGGUGGAAUGGCCAGAAGCCGGGCCUUUGCGGCCGAUCCGAGAACCGAGACGCUGGGCGGCAUCUUCUGAGCACCUUGAUAGAUUGACGUGAUGAUCCACGUCAGCGGUGAGAUUUGUAAUUUCGCAAAAAAAAAAAGUGGUGAGAUUUGUGCGCACCGGGCUUGCCACCGCGGAUGGCAAUCAGACGGCUCGCAAAAGUUUCUACCCACUGGUAGUGUGCACGCCACCAAACCCCCGGGGGUAUAAGUUUCAGAUCUAAUAACAAAUGAGCUUGACAUCCUUCUCUCUGAAUCUCUGAACUCUGAUGCACCAAAGCAAUCGAUCAGGGAGCAUUGGCGUGCUACUUCCUGCUCGAUUACGAUGUUACAAUUGAAAAGGAACAAGAAAUUAAGGCGAAACCGAUUACGAGACACAAAUCGUACAAGUUCCAAGCCAAGAAGAUCACGUCGAUCAGUCCACACGCUGCACCGUCGCGGAGCUCAGCGUCCGGCUAGCUCCGGCCCGUCGCUGGCGGCGAUCUCGUCGAUCAUCCGGACGACGUCCUGCACCUUGGGCCGCCUGUCGGGGUCGACGGCGGCGCAGAGCAGCGCGAUCUCCGUGAGCCGCAGCAUGUCCCCGUGGUGGCCCCGGUCGGCCACGAUCUCGACGUCGAGGAUGUCCGUGGACCACUCGUGGCUGAGCGCCAGCCGCGCCCACUCCGCGAGGUCGCCGUCCUCCUCCACGGGCACCUUCCCGGUCACCAGCUCCAGCAGCACCAGCCCGAGGCAGUAUACGUCGGCGCGGGACGACAGCCGCCGGCCGCCGCCGCGCGCGAACUCCGGGCACUUGGCCGCCGCCAGCCGGUGCGCGUGGUGCGGGAGCAGCGGGUGGAAGCCGUGGUCCGUCAGCUUCGGCACCGCCUGCUUCUGCUGCUGCUGCUUGCUCUUGGCGGCGGCCGAGAAGAAGACGAGCACGUUGGAGGACUUGAGGUUGCCGUGCGGCGGCCGGUGGAAGUACGGCAGCGACUGGUGCAGGUACGCCAGCCCGCGCGCCGUGCCCUGCGCUAUCGAUAGCCUCGCCGGCCACGGCAGCGGCGUCCUCCCCUCGCCCCUGUUCCCUGCGCACGCGCAAGCAGAGCAAGGUUGUCAACUUGUCAUCGCGAUCUGUCGUGGCAGCCUUCAGAGGCGACGCACACAAGCGUACGGACUCCGACGUACCAUGGAGGAGCUGGAAGAGGCUGCAGCCGGGGACGUGCUCGUACACGACGAGCUUCUCCUCCUUGGAGUAGAAGCAGGCGAGGAGAUCGGCGACGUUCUCGUGCCGGAGCUUUCCCAGGAGCUGCAUGGUGUGCGUGAAGUCUCGGCGAGGCACGUGCGCCAUGUUCCGCAGCCGCUUCACGACGACGACGGGGCCGGCCUCGAGGGUCACCCGGUACGUGAUCCCGAGCCGGCCCUUGCCGAGCAUCUCCGCCGUGGACCGGAACAGCUCGUUGAGCUCGAACCUCGCCCUGUCGUCGAGGAAGAACUGCAGCUCGGCUCCCUUGCCACCGGCCGAGUCCGUGCUCCGGCUGCCGCUCCCUCUGCCCUGCUUGGUUUUGUCGUUGAUGUCCCCAGCUCCUGUCACUUUUGCAUCGUACAAAACAUCAAGUCUCUGUCAGGAACAAGAACGCCGUCGCAGAUGAAAAACCAUACGUGCUAGGAAGUGAGCUGAAUUAUGUCACCUGCGGCAUCGGCACGACCGCCGAGACGGACCUCCCGGCCCUUCUUCUUGUGGUGCAGGAAGAUGAGGAUGGCCGCGAACGGCACUAACGCGGCGAUGAGGCACAUCGCCACGACGCUCCACGUCGCCAGCCUGAAUCGCACGGGCUUCCGUGCUUCCCGAUCCUUGCCGCCUGCCGGCCUGAUGACCGGAUCGUCACUGCCGCCUCCAUCGGCGGCGGCCGAACCACCGGACGAAGGCGGCGCCUCCUCCCGGCACUCGGCGUUCACGGCCUCGCCGCAGAGCUUGAGGUUGUGGUCGAAUGCGCUCGCGGGGAACCGGCGCAGCGCGCGGGUGUCCGGGACUUCGCCCUGGAGGAAGUUGUAGGACACGUUGAAGACGACGAGCCCCCGCUGCCGGAACGCCGGGAGGGUGCCGUUGAGCAGGUUGUCCUGGAGCUCGAGGCGCGCCAGGUCCCGGAGCGACGUGGCGUACCCGCGCGGGAUGGGGCCCGAGAAGCGGUUGCUGGACAGGUCGACGGCGCGGAGGCGCGGCAGGUCCUCGAGCCCCGGCAGCGCGCCGUGGAGCGCGUUCCCGCGCAGCGACAGCGCCUCGAGCCUCGACACGCCGCGGAGCGCGCUGCGCGGGAGCGAGCCCGUGAGCUGCGCGUCGUCGAGCGCCACGCCCACCACGCGCCCGUCGCCGUCGCACGACACGCCGCGCCACCGGCUGCGCCCGCCGUGGCAAGGGGGGCCCGUCCAGUUGGAGUGAAGGUCCAGCGCCGACCGCAGCGUGUCGCGCAGCACCAGCAGGUCUCGCCGCUCGUCCCGGCGCUCCUCGAAGUCCAGCUCCGUCACCUCCGCGCCUCCCUCCCCCACCACCACAGUCGCCACGAGAACCCACGAGACGACGAGCCAAUGCCACGGCCGCCGCCGCCGGUCACACCUGCUCCCGUCGUUCAUGGCGUCGUCCUCGAUAAGCUCGCGUCAAGCAACAUGCAUGGAGAGAGCUUCCUUCCUCUUCACCCGACGAGGGCGAUAAACAAAUCGAUCCUUGCAGGAGGAGGAUGCUUGCCGAGAUGUGCAAGGCAAGGGAGGCAGCAGCGGGCGGGGGGGAAGAACCAUGAUAAGAUACGUGGAGACGGAUGGAGGGAGGCCGGGUGGGGUGGUGGUAGGCGGCUGUGGUGCGUGCUGGUAGCGGGAGGGAGGGAGGGAGCUGGAUUUUGGUGGAUUCGACGUGAACAUCUCGGCAGUUCGGUCGCGGCUGCAGCGACGGGCCAACCGACCCGGAUGGACGCAGAUGGAGUGUGGGAGACGAGCUCUUCUGACAAACCCAAGUGGCCAAGUGCUGAAUUGGUUGAGACUGGAGACAUGCAGACGCAUCCCGCUCUUUACAUCUGUCGACUGGUCACAACAGGAUGUGUGUAUACGAUCUUUCUUUUACUACUAAGAAUUUUGUCCUUCAAUAGAUUCCAAUGUUUUGUUCUUUAAUUUUUUCGACAAAAUGGAUGCACAUCUGGUGCCACAUAUAUAGGCGUAGGCAACAUGAGUAAACUGAAAUUUCACAUCGGCAUGGACAUUCUAAUUGCUGUAGCACAAGCUCUAUCAUAGGCUAUGGGGUUGCACCGUUGCACUAUAAUAUAAUCUUAGCUAGCGGCCCCAUGGUCUCACUAGUAACGCUUUGGUUUAGCAUUAGCUGUGUUUUUUCUUCCUUCACAAGGGCUAGUACGCCAUUCGACUCCUAUGCACACGCGAGGAACAUGGGUGGGACGAAACUGUAACCGAAAAUCGCGUUUACUGGGACCCGUUUUCGAAUUAUUUCUGUAUAAGUGAUAAAAUUUCUGACCAUUACCGUAUUUAAAUUAGGAUUUUAUAUUUUCUUUUAUAUGUAUUAUAGUUAAAUAAUGAAAUCGGGAAAAUUCCUGAUGGACAGGCAAUCAUUUUCUGUAUGGAUGAUAUAUAUCGUUAACGACCGUUGUCAUCCAUUGGAUACGCUUUGUGACUUUGUUUAGAUAUCUAUUCAAGUUCCAAGUACUAUCCAGGUCUACAGUGUACAGUACUGCUAAAAGGAAAAAAUGGAAACAGAGGAAAGGAGUCGUACCAGACCACCAGUGCUCACUGAUACGUCGCCGUCAUAGGCAGAGUUUGGCUUUUUCGUUUUUUUGUUUCUGGAAAAAGAUAGAGCCCUAGUCAUUAAGUAGAUUAAGGGGGUGUUUGGAACACCCCUGUUAAAGUUUAACACCUGUCACAUCGGAUGUUUGGGUACUAAUUAGGAGUAUUAAAUAUAGGCUAAUUACAAAACUAAUUGCACAGAUGGAGUAUAAUUCGCGAGACGAAUCUAUUAAGCCUAAUUAGUCCAUGAUUUGAUAAUGUGGUGCUACAGUAACCAUUUGCUAAUGAUGGAUUAAUUAGACUUAAUAGAUUCGUCUCGCGAAUUAGAACAGGGUUCUGCAAUUAGUUUUAUAAUUAGCUCAUGUUUAGUCCUCCUAAUUAGCAUCCGAAUAUCCGAUGUGACACUGUUAAAGUUUAGCACCUUGUAUCCAAACACCCCUUAAGUAAUAUUCGGUACGUACACUUUCAGUAUGAAUAUCAUAAUUUAAAAAAACAACAACAUUAGUUUAUGUAGAAACAUACAAAAUAAUAUGUAUUGUUUUUUUCUUGAAAAGUACUUUCGCAAUCUCAUGCUAUGUUAGAUAUUACCAUUGUAUUCUAAUAGGGAAAAAUAGUCGUCCACAUUUAAACUCGAAGAUCAAAAAAAUCAAUCGUGUGGAGUAUUAUGAUUAGAGAAUUAUAUGGAUACUAGAUUCAUAUUUCAAAGAUCUUUUUGAUAAAACUGGUUAUAUAGCAAUCGAUGAUACGUUAUAAGUGAAAUUGAUGGCCAAAAUUUACCUUAAAGUUAAAAACGUUUUCAAAUCCUAAAACGCCCACUAACAAAAAAGGGUUAAUAAUAUAUUGGGAACAAGCACCUCUAGACACAAUUUGGUACAAUCUAUAGAACUACUACCUUUGGUCAUAAGUGCUUGACACUUUCAUCAAAAUUGGUCAAGCUCUUGAGACUAUGAUCAUUAACAACAUUCAAAAAUAUUUUUAAAUAGCCGGUUACUCGUCAUUUAGCCAAUUAUUGAGCUACGUGGCUUUUUAGCCAAACAAUGUGUGUAGAUUUGUCUUAAAAUAGUACUUCCAUAUAUAGUUCCAUACAUUUACUAUUUUAACAUUAUGAUUACAUUCUAACAGAAAGUAAUGACCAAAGUUACACUAAAAAACAAUAAAAACCAUGAAGUAUUUAUGAUCAAAAGUUAGCAUGCAAGAUAUCCUCGAGAAGAUUUAGAAACGGUAAACUUGCUCACAUGAUCGAGCAGUUGCACCAACCGAUGGAUGAUGGACCGUGGAAAUUGGACGGCUGGGGUUUGAUACGAUAUGCAGCGCUCGAUUGAAGAGACGCACCAGGAGGCUGACCUUUACUCUUCCUACAAGGCACCAGCGUGAAGACUGAAGACCUUUACACACUUUUUUGGUAGCUGGCUGCACAAACAAAAGGGAGACGAAGACUCAAGGAGGAGUGCAGGGAAUCAGAAACCGUCCUCAUCUUUACCUUUUCUUUUUUUUCCUUUUGUUUUUUGCAAUCUUGUCGUUCCUUUGGAGCUUCAAAGGAGCAUCAGGCUCUGUGAUUGCGAGGAUCUUGUGCUUAAAGGCUAAAGCCAUUCUGUCAGAAGAUCAUUAGGGCGUAAAUCACUGUCUGAUCCUUGAGAAAUGGGCACCGGGAAAAAGGAGGUAAUGACACUGACAUGUAUGUAGCUGUGCGUCUCUGGUUUGCAGGUAGCGGGAUCAUCGUGAAAACAACCGGGGUUUGCACGAUAUACGCAGGCGCACACUGACAGGUACCACUCGCUAUUGUUUAGCACAUAUCACAUCGAAUGUUUAAUACUAAUUAGGAGUAUUAAACAUAUACUAAUUACAAAAGUAAUUGCACAGAUGGAGUCUAAUUCGCGAGACGAAUCUAUUAAACCUAUUCAUAAUUUGACAAUGUGGUGCUACAGUAACCAUUUGCUACAGUAACCUUAAGAACUUAGCAUAAUCCAACCUACUACCGUGUAACAUGGGCGUGGCAUGGGCCAGGGGAAACCUAAGACUUGUUCCACUUGCGAGUUGGGACCGUGUGUUGCUUUCAUAAUCAAAUGAUAGGUGGAUGGUGGAAGAUACUUCUCUCCUAAAUAACAUCACUUUUGGCCUAAACUUAAGCUUCUUCUCAAACCAUAUUGAUACUGUACAGAUUACUCCAAAGUUUAAAUUGCCGAGAAAAAGGGGUCAUUAUGUUAACUAUAGUUUUGUUAGAUUUUGAUGCCUAAAUAUGUCAUGAUGUUGGAAACAUGCGCGAGGGUUUUGCGUAUGUGCUUAUACAAAUCUAAUGGUUUGCUAAGGUGGCGUUUGGUUCCCUUUGCUUAUUUUUAAGCAAGUGUCACAUCAAUGUUUAGAUACUAAUUAGGAGUAUUAAACGUAGUCUAUUUACAAAACCCAUUACAUAAGUGGAGGCUAAACAGCGAGACGAACCUAUUAAGCCUAAUUAAUCCAUCAUUAGCAAAUGUUUACUGUAGCAACACAUUGUCAAAUCAUGAACUAAUAGGCUUUAAUAGAUUCGUCUCGCCGUUUAGCCUCCACUUAUGUAAUCGGUUUUGUAAAUAGUCUACGUUUAAUACUCCUAAUUAGUAUCUAAACAUUCGAUGUGACGGGUGCUUAAAAAUAAGCAAACGAACCAAACCAGGCCUAAAUAGCAUGCAUAAGUUGACGCAGUUAUGAAUGUCAACUAACAAUUGGGUAUCAGAUUUGUUGCU